RNAcentral lists this long non-coding RNA (55238 nucleotides) under Vigna radiata. RNAcentral describes it as "long non-coding RNA (VRAD_LNC011006)". The record is from RNAcentral. Lineage: Eukaryota; Viridiplantae; Streptophyta; Magnoliopsida; Fabales; Fabaceae.
GAGCAGCCACCUUCAUCUUCUCUUCACUCGGUUUCUACUUCGUUUGCAGGAGGGAGACAAUGAUCUAUUUUUCUUUUGUUCUCGUUCUGGUUCGUGCCGCAAGGGAAGAAGGCUUCAUUUCUGUUCUCUUUCUUGGUUCCGGGUGGGGGUUUUUGCACGUUGGGGAUGUGUGUUCAGGUGGCUAGGAUGCGAACUCCGUUCUUGCGGCGUAGUGAGCCUGGCAACAGCGGCACCUCCGCGAUGGCUUGAUUCUUGACGUAUUCGCGGUGCCAGAGUCCCUGUUUAAUGGCAUCGCGGUUUUGAGGAUUCAUAUGGUCAUUUCUGGUUUGCGAUUUGGGGUUGUUCCUAUGGUUCUAUUAUUCUUUGUAGGAUGGCGGUCCAAGGUUGAGGGUUUUGAUCUUGUAAUUUGGGGGUUUGAUUUUAGGGUUUCAGUAUUUGGGAAUUUUUGCUUUAAAGUUUUGUUCUUGAUUUUUCUGAUGUUGCGAUUGAAAGAGUUGGGAAUUUUGUUUUCAAUUUGGAUUAUAGGGUUUUCCUACCCUUGCUUUCUCAUUUUGGAGUUAGGGUUCCUACAUUUAGGUUUUCUAAUCUCAUGUUUUUGGAUUUUGGUUGACGAUGGUGAUGUAAGUUUGCGGCAAUGAGGGAGCUGAUGGGUGCGGCCAAUGGGUGUCGCGAUGGCUCUGGCAAGGUUGAACUGUGGUUGAUUCAAAAUUUGGACCCUAAAUCACAUUUUUCCCAAAUUAAAAAACCCUAUCUUAAUAAUACACCAAAUCUUCUGUUAGUAAGUGACACGUCAGCAUGCAAAAAAUAAUAUACUAACACGUUGCCAAUAACCGGUGCCAGAUCAUCAGCACACUAACGUCGUUUGGUCAUACUUAACGAAAGAGACUAGUUAGACACAAAUUUGACUAACUAUGAACAUAUUCCAAACACUUUUAAAAAUGGAGACGAAUUUAACAUUAUCCAACGAAAAUGAGGAUUAAAGAAGAUAUUAAACCAAAAAAUAUUAAAUGAAAUAAUUGUUUUAGGAUAAUGUCUUGUGUUACAGAUAAAAUAUUUUCCAUACACUACACACAAAAUAGAAGAUUUAAACAGAUAACCAUUUAGAAAGAUUUAGAAUAAAAAUUAAUCAGGACUUUAGGGGUUUGAAAUUGAAACAUUCGAAAAUUUUCAAAUUUUUUAUAUAAGACUAAACAAUAUUGUCUCAGACAAAUUUGUAUAUAAGACAAAUCAUGCUUAGACUAAUGAAAUUAAAUUUUGAAGUAUUGAUGAUUGAUUAAAGAUAAAUUCAGAUUACAAAAAAUAUAUAAGAAUUUGUCAACUCAUUUUAAUUUUAUAUGUAUAUAUAAAUCAUAUUAUUUCUAAAAAUUAAAUUAAAAAUUUGUAAUGAAGUUAAAUUCAUUUUAACCCUAAUCCUAAUCUAUUUGAGAAGGGGAUUUGAGAGUUAGGACCUUUUUAUCCCCACCCAAAGGACUUAUUAAGAGGGAUUUUUUUCAAAAAUAGGUUAGAACUAGUCCACAUGCCAUUGAUCAAAUUGACAACUUUAUUAAAAAGACAAUAAUUAAUUUGUAUUAAAGAAAAAACAUAAAUAUGAUUUUAAUUGUGUUAAUUUUAUUUAGUUGUUGAAAAUUGUAUAGUUUUAAUACUAUAUUAGUUUUCCAUAGAUAUUUUACCCAUUUUAGAACAAGAUGGUAAUAUGAUAAAUAAUGUGUCAUUUAUCACAUCUUAGUUAUUAUAAAAAUGACAAUGGUCGAAUUAAACAUAAAUUUAUUAUUUCAUCUUUAAUAAAAAAAUUAACUUUUAUAUAUAUUCUAUUAUCAGUUAAAUAUUUAUUUAAAAACACUCACCAGUAUUUUAAAACACACGUGAAUACUUGCCGAUAUUAAAAAAACAAUUUAUAAAUAUUUAAAAAAAUUAAAUAAAAUUACAAAAAAUAUAAAAUAUAAUAUAAACUAAAAUUUAAUUUUAAUUAAAAUUAACCAUAAAUUAAUUUUAGUUUUAAUUAAAUUAAAUUUAAUAAAAUGUAAUUUUAAUUUUAAUUUGAAUUUUUUUUCAAAUAAUAAAUAUUUGGAAGUAUAGAUAAUAUAAUACCUAUACUUCAUCCAUUUACAGAAAGUAUUCCGCUACUUGCAUAUAAUAAAUACUUUGAAGUAUAAGCUAUUCUUUACAGAUUUUAUUAACAAAUAUUCACUAGUUUUUUGCUUUCCUCGUUUAUGUGCUUGUUUUCAGCAUUUUCUACCUUUCUUUUAUGUAAUUAAAUAACUUCUUUUUCAUUUUAACAUAUAUAUUUAGAAAUUAUAAAUAAUUAUGAUAAAAAAAUUAUAAAAAUUGUAAGCAGGUUGAGUUAAUUUAUCUCUACUCUAGUCCAGCUUAAACUUGUUUAAUAUGCUAAUUAAGUUAAUCGAAAUCAAUUUAAUCUAUAUUUAUAAAAUUAUUUUAUUUUAACUCAAUCCAGUUUAAACACGUAGUUAACCAAUUAGUUCAUCAAUUUGAACUCAAUUUUGUCGCCUUUAUUCCUAAUCACUCUCACAUACUUAUUUUAAAAUUUAUCCAUAUUUUUUUAGAUUGUACAUUUUAAAUAUUAUUUAGAUUUAGUAGGUUGAUUGACUCCUUCUAAAUAUUAUCCAACGGCUCUGUCAACAAGUAGAACCAAAAUUUUCUCUUAAGAAAUGUAAGAGGGAUAAAAUAAAAAAUAAAUAAAUACUUAAUUUUGUUUACGUGAAUAAAAUAAAAUAAAUUGGAAGACAAUAUUUUUUUAUUAUUAUUAUUUUGGAAACUAUUAUGAAAGAUGUCUUAUUUGGAGAUAUAAUUACUGGUUUGAAAGGUUGGUUGUUGUAUUAAUUAAAAAGCUUAAAAAAUGAUGUCAGUAAACUUUAAGAGAAACACGUGUUCCACAUUUCUUUCACCAAUUCUCCCCUUGUUUUCCCAUUUACACCACCUUCUUCUCAUUUUCAUAAUCUUUUUCUGUCAUGUCAAACGGAGACCUCCAACAAAGACAAACAUAUGCAUAUAACCAAGUUCAAAAUUUAAAUUAAAAACCUUUCACAUACACAAUAUUUUAUACCAAAAGAAUUAAAUAAUUUUAAUCUUCUGUCAUUCAUACAUUUUUUUAUAUUUCGUGUGAUUUUACAAAAGUUAUAAAUAAAUUUGCAAAAAAAAAUGGUUAACAUUUUUUUAUAGAUAAUCCAAGAGAGAAUCUUACAAUAUAUAAUUUUUGUAGUGCUUACAUAAGAAAAAUAUAUCAGAACAAUAUUAAAUCUCUUUGUGUAAUUGCUUAUUGCAACCAUAAAACAGAUAUGAUGGCCCAAAUAAAGCAUUACUAAGACCAUAUUAAAUCAGUUUGUGUAAUUGCUUAUUGCAACCCAUGAAAUUUCUUCUUGCACCCACAAUACAAUGAAAAUACUCAAAUACCCCUUACCAUUUCAUCAUUGUUAUCGUCGUUGUUAGAAAACUCUUUCCAAAACACAUUUUAUGUAGGAGUAUUCUGUAAAAUUCAUUCCAAAAAAAGUAUUAUAUGUGUUUUGGAAAGUUUAUUCUGAAAAUUUGUUCCAAAAACAUGUUUCAGAAUUUAUUUCACGUGUUGUGAAAAUUCUAUUAUGAAAAUCUCAUUUAAAUAAUUUUUUUCUGAAAAUUCUAUUGUGAAAAGUUUUGUUCCGAAAAUUUUACAAAACCUGUUUAGGAAUUAAUAAUCAGAAAGUCACUUUUACAAGGGAAAACCGGUCUUUUCUAAAAAUUGAUGGAGUGUAGGAAGCAAUCGAUAUUGCUUCGCAAAGCCCAAGCCCAAUUAGAAAAGGCAAAUCCUGAAAUAAAGUUUAAAUAAACCGUUCCACAAUUCUUAUUGAAUUAAGAAAACUUAUUAAUCAAUUCUCAAAAAAAAAAAAAAAAAGAAAAACUGACUUGAGCGUACCUGCUCGAAUUCGAACUUUGCAAAGAAAAAGACGAAGAAUCCUAAGAAGUGAAGAGAACUAAUAAGUGCAUCUCUCAUACCUACAUACUAAAAAAUACAUAGUAAUAUUUUAGAUUAUGUUAACACUAAUUUAAAUGACAAUACUUUUAAAUAAAGUAGAGACUAAAUUGAAAAUAAAAUAAAAUUAAAAAAUCACAUAAAUCAUGUAAAUAUUAAGUAAUUAAAUUUAUUUCGAAAUUACACUUUUAUUUUUCUAUUGCUGUAGAAAGUAAAAUUAAUGUAAAACUGGUCAUUUAAAUAAUAUUUAAAUAUCUAUAAAUAUCAUCCUAUCUUAUUUUAGUUUCUUUAAAUUUUGUACUAUUAUUUUUAAUUUAUUGUUAUUAUCAUUAUUUUAGUACAAAUAACAUAAAUAUGGAUUAAGGUAAUUAGAUUACUUUAAGUACAUAAUUAUAUUAAAUGGUAUAUUUAAUAUUUUAAAAGUACGAUAGUGACAUACUUUUUAUUUUUAACAUAAUAUUAUACAAAUUAUAUUAAUCUUUUAUUAUCAAAAUAAAAUCAUUAUUUAUAAUUUUUGUGAUUAUAAAUUUGUUUAUCAAUAAGUAAUGUUAGUAGCACGUCAUAUUACUUGAAUACAACUAUUUUAUAUUAAUUUUGAAUUUCAUGGAGAAGAAAAGAAUAAGAGGAUUUUUUAUAUUGUUUUUAAUUUUAAUGUAUUUUAAUUAAUAUUUAGUAAAAAUAUAAUAUACAUUUUAUCACUUUUUUCUUUAAAUGUAAUUGUUGUUUAUGGUGUAUCAAAAAAAGUAAAUGAUUUUAUUUUUAUUUUUUUCGUCAACGAGAAUAAAUGUUUUUAUUAUGAUUGAAAAUUUUAAUAUCAAAAUUAAUAUAUAGAACAUAAACAUCAUACCAAGAAUAGUCACCAUACAACACUUUCCACAUUUUCAGAAGUUAAUGGUGAAUAUCAAAAUUGUAUAAAAAAAUAAAAAGACAAAUCUAUAAGUUGAAGUUAUAUUUAGUAAAUUUCCUAUUCUAGAAUGAAGAUAUAAUAUACAAAAGAAGGAUUUAAAAAUUGUAAAAAACGUAUUAAGAAAGACAUUAAUUGAUGGAAUAGGUAAUGUAUAAAUAUUGUCACUUAAUCAACCAAAAAGCAAAAUGUUGUUUUGGUUUGUAAACAUUAAAUUUAUUAUUCCUUGGUGGGAUUUAGUUUCAUCACGUGCAAUAUCUACUCAUAAUUACUAAUAAUGAAAGGAUGAAACUUCUCCCAUUGUUGUCGUAUGCUGUCAAAAUAUUGAAUGAGAUAUUCACCAUUCGUUACUUUUAAUAUUUCUUAAAUUUAAUACGUAGAAGACAAAUAUAUAUCAUGAUAUUUAUUGCAUACUUUUUCUUUUCACCGAAUAAAUAUGUUUUAGGUUUUUAAAUAUUAUGAAAAAUUAAAAAUAGUGUCUGCUUAAAAAUUUGAAGUUGUCUAAUCCUUUCUACUUUCAACACACGUGUUUUCCAAAUUUUAUUUAAUUUUUUAUGAAAAAUGAAAUAUUCAUUUUUCAGAAUUAGUUACUAAUUUUUAAAAAUAAAAAUAACUGAAACUGUUGCAUCAUCCAAAAUGUUAAUGUUUUACUCACUUGAAUGAAUUUGGAAGAAAAUAAUCGAAUGAAAUUGAGAAGAUUUGAAAGUAAAUUUUUUUGUUAUUUAUUUGAGUAGAUUUGGAGAUAAGUAAAAAUAGAUUUGUAAAUAAAAUUUGUAAAAACUUGUGUAAGAUUUAAUUUAUGUAACAGAUUAAAAAAAAUUUACUUUUAUAUUUACCUCCAAAUUCACCCAAAUAAAUAAAAAAAAAAUUUAUCUUCGAAUCAUCUCAUAUUCAUUUAAUCACUGUCUCCGGAAUUCACUCAUGAAUAUAUUGAAGUGAACAUAGAAUAAGAGAGAAACCACAGCCAUCAACAAUCGUUCUCCUCACUUCCAACCCCGAUUCAAAAACCAGAUAAUCAAUCACUCAAUAACAAAACACACAAUCUUCAUUUUUCCACCUCCAUUAUCACCAACCAACACUGAAUCACCUUCAAUCCCACAAAACAACACAAGCUUCAUUCAUUUUCGGUUCAAGCUCCUCCAUCAUCUUUCCACCAUUUCCAACAAUCAAUUCAUCCAUCAUACCUUUUAUUUUCAACACCGCAGAAACCACUCAACACAAUACACACAGAUCAGAGAGCAAAAAAUGGGAACAAGAAAUUGAUUGCGAGGAAGAGGGUUGAAUGGUCGUGAUGACAUCGGAGCUCCGACCAUACCUGAUUGACGCAGUGGUCAUACACUGGUAAACAACUAUGGUGCUAGGCUCUAAAUCGCAUUGUUUCUCUUGUGAGACCCGUUUGAGCGGCGCUGCAAGAGACCACUAGUGCAGAAAGGGCUUUAAACGUUUGUUAUUUUGGGUUUUUAACGUCUUUUACACAACCGACGUCAUUACGGGUGACGUUAAUGGGACGUCGAAUUUCCAUAAAACAGACGUCUAUAUAGACGUCAGUUAGUGUCAUUUCCGACGUUAAUAGACGUCGGUUAAGGCCUACUCCGACGUCUAAGAGCACCAUAUAGAUGUCGAUGUGGGAACCAACCGACGUCUAAGAGCACUAUAAAGACUUCGAACAUGGCACUAACCGACGUCUAAGGUCACUAUAGACGUCGGUGUAGGCAUUAACCGACGUCUAAUAUAGUCGUUGUGUUUUAGUUUUGUUUUGUUCCUGUCUUUGGAUAGCCUAGUAGCACACUUUGCCUUUGCUAGUUUCCCCUAAAAAAAAACUUGCGUCUUUUGAAUUUUUUAUGGCAUUUCAACCCAAAACCGAACCUGGGUUCUUGCCUAGUUCCAUUUUCAACCGCAAGAAGAAAAACUUACGGUGAAACGAUAACUAGGGAACGACACAUGGUCAUUUUUGGGUCGAAACGCCAUAAGAAUUCCAAAAGACGCCGCUUUUUCUGGGAGGCAGCUAGCAAAGGGAUAAUAUGGUACUACAUUACCCCAAGAGAGGAACAAAACUGCACUAAGAUACAACACAAAGAAAAUACAUUUUAAUCAAUUGAAUUAGAAGAUAAUAGAUGAAAGACUAAUAUAAUCAGACUGAAAUAAAGUUUAAACUGUUUAAAUAAAAACAAGACGCACCUGGAAUGCAAUGCCGCAAGAGAGAAAAAGGAGAGGAGAAAGACGAUGAUGUUUGCGUAACUGUGCGAGUCUGUGGUUUAUUUAACAUGAGGCAUUGGACUUCAACUCGGUGGCACAACCACCUCGACAUUGGAAGCAACAGUUGAGAGGAGCGUAGUGCAGACACAACAUGAUCUAUCUAAAUUCGAGUGUGCGUGUUAUCACAACUUGUUUGCUAAGUUGGGAAAAUUAGGUUUGGAAUAUGGUGAAAUUUGGAACGGUCGGUUUGGAAGAGGAAGGGAUGGAGAAAUGAGAGAAGGGUGAAGGAAAGAAUAUUUUUCAAUUUUUUUUAAUUAUUUAAAAGAUAUAUCAAACAAGUGACAAACAUGUGUAAACAAACGUAAAUCUUCACGCACGAUAAACUUUAAUGUAGUUGAAAAUUAGAGAUCGAAACUAAUGUUUUUGAAAAUAAAGAAUAAAAAAAAAAUUAUAACAAAGUUUUAUUAGUUUUUUUUUUAGAUUAGACUUGUGUAUAAUUAAAAUAAUACAUAUAUCCCACAGUUUUCUUUAAUUAUUUAUUUACACUUGAGAUAGAAGGUCAUGAUUUUUCAGAGGUUAUUCGGAUCUCUUUCGAAUAUUUUGUAAAUAAAUAUAAACUAUUACUAUUAAUAUCAUAUUUGAAUUAUUAUUUUAAAUAACUAAAUCAAAAUAAUACUUAGCAUAAAUAAUAAAUCAAGAGUUAUUGAAUGAAGUAUGUGUCGAUCUUUCCUUUCAACAAUAUCAUUUUGUUGGAGAGUAGGAACACAAGUAAUCUCAUGAAAAAUUUCUUUGAUAGUAUAAAUUUAUUAAGAACAAGUUUUUUUUCAUUAUCAAACCUUAUUAUUUUAAGUUUACAAGAAAAUUGAUUUUCUAUUAAAAUGAUAAAAUUUUGAAGUAAAGCUUUGACAUGAAUCAUGUGAAACGACUAUAAUUAUUUAUAAUAAUAAAAAAAAAUAUUUAUACCCAUCAAUGGAAGUAAUGGAAAUGGAACCUCAAAUAUCAACAUGAAUGAGAUUUAAAAAACAAGUUGAUUUAGUUUCGUUAACAAAAAAUUAAAGAUAAUUAUGUUUAGCAGAGGCACAAACAUCACAAGAUUAAUAAAUUUAAAAGAACCAACAAAAUACUAACAUGCUAAUGUCUGAAAAACUUUCUUUGAAGGAUGACCAAGUUUUAUGUGCCACAACUUACAAGAAGCACUACUAUUUUUUAAAACAGAAUGGAAAGAAUUUGAUUCUGAAGCACUGAUGUUAUUAUUGCUAAAGAGAUAAAAGAGCCCUUGGUACAUUUUAGCUACAUCAAUCAUCUGAUAAGUACCCAUCUGCACAAUGAGACAAUUGUUAUAAUGAAAAAUGAUAAAACAAUUGUUGGAAGACAAUAGUUUACAGAUAGAAACUAGGUCAACAGAGAAUUACGAACAAAUAGAGUAUUGUGCAAAACCAAAUUUUCUAAUUUAACAAUUCCUGAGAAUCUAGGAGUUUGUGAUUUGGUAAAGGUAUAGAAAUGGGAGAAACAAGCUUUAAUGAAUUAAAAAAAAAAAAACUUUGAAGAACAUAUAUGAUCAGUAGCCCUACUAUCUAUAAUCCAAGAAGAAAAUUUUGAUAUAGAAGAAGGACCUAAAGAUUGUUUAGUGCAUUGAUUUACAGUUCCCAUGGGAGGAGUAGAAGUUUGAUAUUGUUUCAACAAGCCAAGAAUUGCCUCAUAUUGUUCCUGAGAGAAGCUGCAUUGAAUGUUUGGUUUAUCAGACUGAGUGGUAAAGGAGUCAUUGGAUGUGUGGGAAACAACAUCAGUCAUGUUAGCAGAAGGGUUGCAUUGAACAACAUUAUGUUCGGUGGUGGAUUUAUAACCUUGGGGAAGACCAUAUCAGAUCCAUCAAUUUUCAUGUGUGGUUCGCUCUUUGACAAUGAUCAAACUAUUUGGUACAACCACCAAACUUUUUAGUAUGUCCUCGUCCAUGAGCAAUAAAGGACCCUCCACAAGAAACAUUAGAAUUCUUGUUUUAAUAUUCUUGAAAAUUAAGAUUGGCCAUGCAAUCUUAUGGGGUUUGAGAUGAGGAAUUAUGGAAUAUGCAUUCUUGUUGAAGGACUAAAGAAAGGUCUCAGGAAGAACGAGCACAGGUUCCAUCAACAUGAUCUGAGAACGAACUUAGGAGAAUUCAUCAUUUAAACCAUGAAGAAACUUUAUGACAGAAUCAUCAUUUCGUUCUUGUUGAAUCUUAGUCAAUAAACCACAAGUACAAGGAGAAGGGAAAACAUACAAAAAAAUGGUUCUAUACAGAGAAGGUUCUUUCCAAAUAAUUUAUAAACGAGUAUAGUACUAAGAGACAGUUGAUUCACCUUAUUUACAAGAUUGAGGUUCCUCUUAGAGAUUUGUGAUACGAAACUUAUCACCAUGAGAAAAAUAUACAAAUGUGAUUAACUAUUUUAAUUAAAAGAUAAAAUGGUUUGUUAUUUAUAUUUAAAGGGUAACUUGUCUCUUUUAGUAAUAGUUAUAUAUAUUAAUUAUAUGAUAACAUUUUUAUCUACCACCUUUGUUUUGUGAUUUCAUGAUAUAUUAAUAUAAUUGUUUUAUUUAAGAAUGUAGAAUUAUGAUUUUUUUUGGGUUGGUUAUAGUAAUAUUAUAUAUAUAGUAUAUAAUAUAAAUUCUCACUUAUAUGCAGUGGUAAUAUAUAAAUAAAUAAUUGUAUUUAGAGUUAUGGUAGUGUUCAAAUAUUAAUGUUAAAUAAUAAAAAUAAAAAUAUAUAUUUUUUAAAAUGAAUAUGUUAGUUGCGAGUUCAUGGAUUCGUGGUGCUCAUGGUGGUGUUCAUGACGAAGAUUUUCAUAAUGGUGGUACUUAUGAUGGUGAUGAUGUUCUUGACGAUGCUAUGUGAUUGUGACCGUUACUUUAGGGGUAUAGUUAGCAUAGUGCAGAUGACAGGAUAUACAGGUGGUCAAGGCUUAGGAUUGAGGAACAAGGAGUAAGGAUCGAGGAUCGAGUAUUCAAAUAUCAUUGAGUUGUUUAUGUUAGAGGAAUAUGAAUCAUAUUGUUCAUACUUUUAUGUAUGAGGUGGUUUGAUUAUGGUUGAUAUAAUCUGUAUAUAUGUAUUUUUUUUAUGGUUGUUUUCAAUGGUAGCUUACCACAUACGUGUUUAUGUUUGUGUUUGUGAUGGAUAUUGUUGGCGAUGAUUAUAUAAUAUGUUAUACGUGAGUAGGUGAUGUUGUAGAUGAUCCAAACACAUGGUAGAUACAAGAGAUAAUGGGGACAAAUUUGAGUUUUCUUUAAAUAUUCUUUUGGUUUAGACUUUUUGACAAUGUAAUUUGAAAUUAUUUAUACUUAUUGGUUAUUUAAAUUAUUUUCAAAUAAUGUAAUUUGAAUCUUGCUUUUGGAAUCCAUGUAGUUUAAUUUGUUUUCCACGAGUUUAAAUAUUGAGGUUUUUGAAACAUAAGUUUUCGCGCUAUAAGAAAGUUUUUAAAUAUUUGGCUUUUGUAAACCCGUGACAUUCUAAAAUUGGAGUGUUACAUUUUUUUUUUUGUAUCAAAGCCAAGAGAAAAACAUUGCAGAAGAUCGUUCCAAAUCUCAUAAGUAGAGUCCAUCCACAUGACAAAUUAUUUGAUGGGAAGAAACAUAGAACACGUCAGCUUUGAGAUCACCAUCUUGUUGCAUCUUUUCCAUGCUUGAUGAAGAACAUCGUCAUGGGAGGGUAAGGAAUUGUACCGAGAAAAAAUAAUCUUUGUUCUAGGUUUCUAGGCCCACAAGCACAUCAUGCCACCAUUGUUGAAAAUUGGUGCCCGAGAGAGGAGGGACAACAAGAAUUAGGGUUGAAUUUUCUUCGAGAUGGAGAAAUAAAAGGUGGGUAGGGUUAGAUAGAUGAUCAAAGAAAGAAAUCACAUUGGUCAUGAGAGAAACAUAAAGUUUCAUUCUAAUAUUAUGAUAGUGUUUAACAUAAUGCUUAAAGGAGAAUUUCUCAUUAUUAUUGGAGAGAAGAAAAAAAUGUUUAUACACAUAUAAAGUGAAAGGAGAAAAGAAUAGAAACUAAAAAAAUAACAUAAUUUUACUAAUUAACAAAUUAACACAAAAAGAGAUUUGUUAUCUCUUUAUUAGUAAUAAAUAAAAUCAAGUUUUAAUAAAUUGAAUCCAGUUAUUAUAUAUUAAAUUGUAAUUAAAAUUUCUAAUUUGGUCUCAAAUUGGUUGGAAAGGACCAAAUUGAAUGGUUUUAAAAUAUUGAAAAACUAAAUUGAAUAAAAAAAUUUAAUAUAAAGACUAAAUUGAAAACAAUCAACAAUGACACUAAUACAUGACAUUGUCACGUGACACAACAUAACUUAACAUGUGAUGGUUUAUGUUUUUUUGUUAAAUUAAAAAAUAAAAAAUGAUUAAAAAACUUUAAAAUUUUGAAAAUUUCACGAAUUGAUAUGCAAGAUGUACAUAUAUAAUCUUAACCUCAAUCCAAUAGAAAAAACCAAAUUGGACGUCUUAUAAAUUUGAAAGACUAAAUUGAAGAAAAAGAAAAUAAAAAUGAUGAAAUUGAAGGAACUAAUUAAAUAUUACGAACAAAUAUGUAAUUAAGCAUAUAUGUUAUCAUAACUAGGACACUAAAUUCAAACUCAUUCUUUAUUGUCAUAUGCACAAAAACAUUUAUUAUUGAAUUGAACAUCAAAUUUCUUCCUGUUGAAGUUUCUUUCGUUAUAGUAAAUCAGAGCUCGCAUUCAUUCUAGAAAUCAAACUAAUCUAUCUCGAAUCAACAAGAUAAAUUUCCUAUAACUAUACUUCAUAAACUAAUUCUAACUAUUUUCAUAUCUUAAAAGAGAUGAAAAAAAAUAGAUGACAUGUAAGGUAGUCCUUAUGUGAAGAGAUUUAGAUGUUCAUCAUUUAACUAUAACUAUUCUGAGCAAUUACUCACUAUUAAUCUUUAUUAAAUAAUAUUAAUUAUUUUACGAAAAACAAAAAGUUCUCUUUCUUCUAUUAUUUUGGUUGAGAAAACCUGAGUUUGAAUCUGUCGUUUUUAACCUAUCCAAACCCAGUUUCGCAGCAACUUAUAAACUUUAAGGAAUUAAUUCCUAAACCAUGCACUGUGUACUUAGAAAUUAUUGAACUGUUGAGAUUUUAGGAAAAAGUUAGUGAUAAACUGCACAACCAGUGAUUCUUACGUGUUUACUGAUCUGAUUAUUCAUAAAAUAACAUAAAACUAUAUUAUAUAAUAAUAUUUAUAAACGUAAUCUUCUUUUUAAUGAAAUUUUGACCUAAGAGCUUUAGAAUUACUCAGUGAUAUGAUGGUUCAAUGGGGUGCACUACAAUGAAAAAUAUAGAAAAAUCCAUUGUCAAACCUUUGAAAAUGAAUGGUUGAUUAAAAGAUUUAGAAAUUAUUUUAUUUGUUUUGAAAAACUCAACAGUCAAAUUUAGGAAACUAAUUUUAAUCAACACUUGUUCAAGAAUUCUAGCGUCCAAAUUUCGGGCUAAAGCCCAAGUACCAAGGGCCUAAGCCCGUCCUGGCUCGGUGUGAAUGCUUUGACCCUAUUUUGCACAGUAUAUAACAAUUAUAUUAUGAUUAUUAUUAUUAUAUAAGUUGAAUGUUAUAUAUAGUUGGAGUAAUAAUUUUUUAUUUAUGAAUUAAAUAUGUUUGUAGUUUUUAAACUUAGGUGUGAAAUUGUAAUUCGUUGAUCUUUCAAAUUUUAAUAUAUUUUUAUUUUUAAAUUUAAAAAAUAAUAAAUAUUUUUUUUUUAAUCUAAUAACAUUUUUUAUAUGUUAAAUGUCGUUGUAACGUUGCAACGUUUCAAACUAUAUAAAAAAAUUAUCUUCUUUAUAUUAAGAAGAAUAUAUUUAUUACUUUUAAAGUUUGAAAAUAAAUUCGUAUUAAAGUUUAAAAUAAAAUAAAAAAUUGAAUUUGCCAACAAAAAUAAAGAAUUAAAAGAUAUUUAAGUUUUUAUUUAAAAUAAGACAGCAAAGGGUUUAUUCAGAGUUGAAUUUAAAUUAAAUCCAAGAAAGUCUGGCUGAAUGUAUAAUAAUGAUGUAAAAAUAAAUAGAGAGAAGAUGUGCAAAGAUAAUUUGAAGAGGUGUGAGAGUGACGUAGAAGUGAAAGAAGAUGUAAAUUGGGGUUUUGAAAUUGAGGUAAUUUUGACACGUGCCGACAGAAUCCCGUAUUGGUUUGGAGGGGUGGAGAGGUGUCAGUCUGUUUUUUGCAUCACUAGGGUAUAGAGAGAGAGAGAGUGAGUGACCUUUGCAUGGGACUAAAGACAUAGUUUUAGGAAAAUGUAAUAAUUUUUCACAAUUUUUUAUAAUCACUGAUAGUUUAUAAUUUAUCUAUUUUAAAUAUAUAAAUUAAUAAAAUAAUGACACAUAAUUUAUUGUUAAAAAUUUAUUAAAAAAAUUGUUAAAAUAUCAUUAUGGUAAGGUUUAAUCUCGUUAAUUUGGGUUUUGUAAAAGCGUUAAAGAAAGAAGUCCUACAGAAGUAGGAGGAGAAGGAGGUGGAUGCGAUUUAGUGUACUUUGGGUGGGACAUGAAGUAACAAUAUCUACUAAAAGCAGGGAAAUGUAAACUAUUAAAUUAAAGGCUUUACCCUAACCGUCCCUCUGAAAAGACCACCCAACAAAACAUUAAACAAAAUCCUUGUCGAAAAAUAGCAACAACAAAAAAGCUUCCAUCUUCAAAUUAAUAUGUGGGGGCACCAUAAUUCUUUUCAUACAUCUACACCUAUAAAUAUUAAUACCUACACACCACUUAUUUCCAAAUAUUUCUACUACGCAAAAGUAAAAUUGUUGCUCCUUCGUGCCUCCGUUUCUUCUUGUCUUUGCACGUGCACGUUGACACGCUCAAACCGAGCAAUUAAGAGACACGGUUAUUCAAUGGCUUUGACCAUUUUGGCCAUGAGCCGUACUAUAUUGAAUUUCAUAGCAACAUCAGAAUUUUCUUAUUAUCUUUUUGACCUUAGAAGACUCCGUAUGCUUUUAAAUGCUCUUAUUCUUUAAAUAAUCUUCAUCUACCACAACAAAUUCUGUUUUAAAUUCAGAACUCUUGUUAAAAAAAAAUUAUUCAAAUCAGGAUGGAAGAAGACUGCCACUAAGUCAAACUUUCCUCCACACCAUUCAUAACAAUCAAAUUUAAAAUAAUCCUCUGAAUUAACAAAAUCACAACUUUGGUUUAAUUAUUUUUCAUGAAAAGAGCAUCUAAACUAAUUUUUGUUUACUUUCCAAUUAGUUCAAUUUUAAACAAAUAUAUGUUUAAAAUACUAGUUGAUCUAAGUUUGUAAUGUAUAGAUAUUAAAAAGAGGUAAAAAAAAAGAAGUGGAAAUGUAAGUGUGCAUUAUUAAGUAAUAAUCUUGUUGGGAGUGGGACCAGUCCUGAGUUGUUGGGUUGCUUUGUAGUCCCAUCUCAGAUGUGAAAAUGCAUUCCUUGUGUCUGCAACGCUGCAUUACUUUUUACGACUUAGAAGGUGUCAACACACAUCCACUCUCACCAAUCACAUUCACCUUUUCAGUUUUUGAAACCACAAAUCAUUUUCUUUUUCUUUUUUAUUUUUUCAUAAGCUUUCCCGUUAAUCAUAUCCCCAAUUAAGGACCCAAUCAUAAAAACGCCGCUAACCCACUCACUCCAUUCCACAAACCCGAAACGGGGCGUUUGGUUCCCUCAACAGUCACUCACUCACCCUGGUUAAAGUAACGCUAACCAUGGUUAACUGCACUCCUUUUAAAUCCCCUCACCCUCAAUGAAAGCGAGAGAGAAAAACAAACAGAGAUAUAGAAAGAAAAUUCACCAGAGAAACAUAGAACAAGGAAAUUAAGCCCAAAACUAGAGAGAGAAAAAACCUCCAAGAGAAAGAAAAUGGCGUUGUACCUCGACGAAGAAGAAGUUUGGAAGUGUCCCAAGCAUCCAUCCAAGCGAAGAAGAAGCGGAAUUUGUCCAACCUGUCUUCGCGACCGUCUCGCAACUCUGUGCCCUGAUUGUGCUAACGUGCGCCCUUGUUCCUGCUAUGCCACUAGCUCCUCCUCCUCUUCAUCCUCCUCUUCUUCCUUCUCUCGAUUGCCUGCCGGCUCUGCCAGUGUCGGCGGCGUCGGCCGCGUCCACAACCUCAUCGACCAGGAGCCAGGACUCCGCCGCUCGCGCUCCAUGGCGAUUCCGUUUCUCCGGUCGCGGUCCCGCUUCUCCGGUGGCGCCGACCGGGGUUUGGAUCUCGACAGCGCUAGGGACUCGCCGGCGUUGAACGGAAGCAGGUCGGCGAGGUCGUUCUGGUCAAUGUUCAAGACGCAGAAGAGCACGAGAGCCGGCGCGCCGGAGCAGGAGUGGGAGGCAAAGAAGAUUUUGGCGGAAGAACGCGACGGCGACGGGAGCGUAAAUCCGGUGAUGGUGCGGUCGAAGUCAGUGGCGGUUACUGCGGUUUCCGGCGACGGAGAAUUGAGACCGCGGACGAAGGGGAGAGGGUGGUUCUUUCCAAGCCCGAUGAAGGCUUUCCGGCAAUCGAAGGUUUCUAAAGUGGUUCAGGAACGGUCUCCUUUGUAUAGAGGUUGAAAUUUUGUAGAUUAAAAAAAUAAUAAUAACAAUAACAAAUACUUUAUAUAAGUUUAUAUUAACCAAAAUAUUAAAGUUUUAUUUUGUUUCAGUAUGGUCUUGAUUAUAUUCUUCAUCAUCGUGAUUGUAGUGCGAUAUAUAUAUGUUUAUGAUUCGGCUGGGAAUGUUGAAUUUGCAAUUAGCAAUACAAAUACAAUGGCAGAAUGUGUAUUAUUAUUGAUAUCAUUAUCAUUGUUGUUUAGCUUCUAAUCUAUCUGCUUAUGUAAUAUCAUUUGUGAUUUCUGAAAUUCAGUGGAUGUUCGUAGGAGAUUAUGCAAAGCUCUUUUUAGAAAAUUUGGCUAUUUUUUUAUGUUUACUAUUAUUUGGGUUAGUGCAUUAUUAUAAUGUGAUAAGAUUUAUGAAAUGAUAUGAUAUGUGUAUUAUAUGAUAGCACCAACUCUUGGGAGGGCGUGAUUAGGGUGUGUUGUACGAUCUGGUUGUGAAGCGUUAACUGCCUUACGAUUCAUGCAAAUGAUCGAUUUUUGAUAUGUUUGGUCCCACGUAACAUGUGGUUCCAAGCUGAUUAAUCAAUCAUACAGUGGUUUAGGCUUAGAGUUUUUUCUUUUCAUGCCUAUCUAUCUAUCUCUUCACCUUGUUUUUUAGUUUUUGGGUUUGUGUUAUAGGGAGUUUUAGCCUUAAUGUGCUUCAGUACGGUCUGUCCCUCCUCUUUUUCCUCCUUUCUUCUUCCUUUUCUUUUAUUUCGUACAUCUCAUUAACAUUUAUCAUGCUUCUAAUGGUAAAAGUUUUGACUUUCCACUGCAUAAUAAUCACUCCCUCUGUUUUAUUUUAUCAUUGAAUCAGCCCAUCACACCCAAGGAUUGGUACAUAAUGCUUUUGAUGUCUGUGAACGUUGAGAAUGUAAGGUACUUUAAUACCAUUGUUUGGUUCUGAACUUUUUUUUAUGAUCGUUGUUUAUUACAACAAUAGGAGACAAUGUUGACUCUUUCUAUGCUGUCCUUUGGCACUGUCAGCAGUAUCAAGUGAGCUAAGUUUUUUUCAAGGAUUCUGCAGAAAAAGGGUACAACAAACGAUAAACGAUUCUUGGUCAUAUAUUAAAUCCAGUGGGUGCUUGAAUUGUUUAGAAAUUUUGAAUUAGUUUUCUAAACUAAAAACGCUUGCUCGUAGAAAUUUUGAAUUGGUAAAACUAAUUGUAAUUAACUUUCUUAAAUGGAUGAAUACCGUUACGUCUUUCAAAGUUUAACUAUUUAGUUUCUACAAACAUUAAAACUGUUUCCAAAGUUUUGUAUCAAAACUUUUGUUUCUUACGUUAAGGUUAAGUGGUAUCUCAUCUUUUACGAUUUCUUUUAUAUAACAGCUUACAAGAUUCAAACGAGAGAGAAGGUUAACUGGUAUCUCAUCUUUUAAGCGAGAAGGUGCACUACGCUACAUAAAGAUACAACAAAAAAAUGAUACCAAAAUACAAUGAAAACUCAUUUUAAUCGAUUCAAAUGAGAGAUAAUACAUCAAAUAUUACUUUAAUCGAAGUAAAAACAAUUUUGAAUAGUUAAAAGGAGAGGAAACUUACUUGGAAAUGCAGAGCAGCGAGGAGAAAACGCAAGACGAUGAAACUGUUGGUUCGCAAACCACUGGUUCGUAGUGUUAUUUAACAAGAAAUUAGACGUCUGUUGUACAUAGAACCGACGUCUAAAAUAGAAAAUACGUUGGACGCCAGACUAAUAUGACAUCCAUUCGAUCUAAAAAUUAAUAUUUUUGUACUAUAUAAACGUCGGCUUUGAGGCAUGAGACUUUCGUGGGUGGAAACGGAUGACUUUUCAUAUACCUAAUAGGAUUAUAGACGUCGGUUCCUAAGGCAACUGACGUUUAUAUGUCUGACAGGUUGGUGAGUAGCAUUAAUGUCUGCCAUGUAGGCGUUGGAGCCCGUCAAUGUGGUGGGAUCCGACGUUUAUAAAGCUGAAAAGAGUGACUAUUCAUCUGUCUGACAGAAUUAUAGGCAUCAGUUAGCAGCAACUCGACGUCUAUAUGUCUGACAGGUUGGUGAGCAACAUUAAUUUCUGCCAUUUAGACAUUAGGGCCCCUAUCUAACCGAUGUCUAUAAGACUGAAGGAAAUGACUUUUCACCUAACGGUCAGAAAUAUAGACGUCAGGUUGGAAGGGGCGACAUCUAAAAUUCUAUAGAUGUCGGUGGUCGGCAUAACAGACGCCUAUAUUACCAACUUAUUUAUGGAAAUACCACCGGUCAUCAAUAUACGUAGGACUUACCUAUAACCGACGUCUAUAGGGUGACAUUAAUGAGCAUUUUUGCACUGGUGUCUUUCUCAUCUUCCUUCCUUCUUUCCUUUUUAACUUCUUUUCAUUCCUUCUUUUUCUUAAUUUUUUUUUUAAUUUAUUUUUUCUUUUUAUGAUCCUUUUUCAUUAUUCUCUUAAUUUAGGUGUUUGCAUAGAAUACCACGUGAAUCUAACAUAUCAUAUUUCUUAAAAUGUUAAUGUUUGUAUAGAGACAAGACCAAAGGUGUUAUUUCAAGAAAUUAAAAGGAUAUGUAGCCACUUUUUUUUUAAAAAAUUUGACAAUUUCCUAUUCUUUUAGAAGUUGCCGUCCACCAUAAAUUAUUUUUGCCAAAGUAAUUACAUAGAUUAAAAAUGUCUGAAGAGUUCAAUGACAAUUUUUUUAAAAGAUUUGAUUAAUAGUUUUAACCACGGAGAACUAAGGACCUAUGAUUAAUUUAAUCGUCAUUUUACCGUACUUAACUCAAAAUAACUAUAGAAAACUUGUGAAUGUUAGUUUAGAAUUAUGCCUAAACUGAUGUAAUGCCGGUUAUUUAACUGAAGUUAACUAGAAUAACUGUAUUUGAAAAAGAAAAAGAAAAAAACAUAAUCAUGAACCGAUUAUAAAAAUUAUUUUCUCAAAUUAGGCUAGAGUUUUUAUGAAGCGUGAUGGAAACUACAAUCGGAUUUCUUUUAGUUUUUGGUAAGCCAGUACAGUACUAACCCUAUACAUACAAUGUACUUUCUGCAGACAAAUAAAUAUCAUGGAAAAUUUGUAUGACACUAUUGGAAUUAUUAUUAUUUUUUAGUUUAUACUCCUAUCACUUAAAAAAAGUAUUAAAAAAUCAUAUCUGGUCAAUCUAAACAAUUACCAAGAAUUUUCUUAUUUCGUCCUUUUGUUUUAGAAAGUAAAUUACUAAUAAAUUGGUCACUAUUUUUAUAUAGCAGCAUCUUUGCUCGUUUUGCGUGUUUUUAUUAAGUUCUUUUUUUAAUUAAAAAUGGGACAGUAAAUAAAGCCCCAAAUACUCAAAAUAAUUAAAUGUAAAAAAAAAAUAGAUUAGUUAGAUAUGAGAGAUAAAACGAAUGAAUAAAAAUGGAACUUCAGGAAUAAAAUAAAGAGUUAAAAACUAAUAUAGUGCCUCUAAGUAAUUAAACAGAGACAGAUUAUAUAAGAAUUUGUUUAAAACAAGGGAGCCGAUAGAAUGUCUGUAAUCCAUAGAAAGAGAGAAAAAGGUUUUUAAUUUUGUAGUGUCAGCAAUGUUUUUUCUUUGGUUUGGUUUUUCAAUGUGGUAGAAUGGUUCUAAUACUAGCUUUGGAUCAUGUUUCAGCAACGACCCACCACUGAAUAUUGUAUUUUUAGCCAUAAAUGCAUAUACGAUACGUACGUUGGAAGUCUCACAUCAACAUCGACUAUAGAUAUGAUCAAUUUAUAAUAUAUAAGUGAGAUCAAAUCUCAUUUUAUAAAUUAGUUUUAUGAAGUUGAAUUAGGUUUAAAGUUCACUCCUAACGUUAAAUCAGAGUCAGAGCAAUAAUGGUUAUUUGUUGGAUUCGUUGAUUCCUCUCAUACAUGUCCAAAUGAAAUGUCCUUCAACUACUUGGAAUUGAUAUUGAUGAGAGUGAUUUUUGUUUUGAAAAUUACAUGCAAAGUUUGUAUAAAAGUAGGAAUAGAACAUGGAAAGAUCCAGUCACAGCAAUAUACGACAUUCUAUAAAGAUUCCUUGAGGAAAACAAGCACUUUGAUAUGCAUGUUGUGCUCAUCUCUAUACUCUAAAGGAAAAACUUUGAAAUAAAUAAAUGUCUAGAGUCACUUAUUUUACCUUUUAUCACGUGGAUUUCAAAAUUGCAAAUCUUUAAGUGGAUUUCCAUCCCUUGGAGUAACACAAGCUGCCACAAUAUUUUAUGCAAUUAUUUGGAAACUGUGCACAUGAAUUCGAUCAUCAACACGGUUUUCAGAUACUUUUUUCUUUUCCUUCACUCACAUUUCUACCGCUUUUAUUUUUCAAUUACUACUUUUAAUUCAUUUUACUAGUGCUGGAGAUUCCUCUCACACUAGUUAUGUCAGAUGUUGUACAUUCGUUUAACAAUGAAUAACGAUUUGAUAAUUUUUUAUAAUAUUUUAAUAUUAUCUAUGUGUCAUUUUAUAAUUGAUUUAUGUUAGCAUUUAUGAUUAUUAUUGAUUGUAAAGUAAUUUUAGAUCAAUCAUAUAAUUACAUAUAAAAAAUAUUAGUUAAAGUAUUAUUAUCCUUUCUUAUAAUCAAAAUUUAAUAUCUUUUAAAUUAAAUAAUUUUAAAUGAAAAAGGCAUUAAGUUUGGUUUUUAUUAGAAUUAAAGUUUAAUAUACUCUUCUCACACUUCAAUUUUGAUAACAUAUCAUAAAUCUAUUCUAAGUGUUUUUUUUAAAUAACAUUUUUGUUUCUAUUUUCUGUUUACAUAUCAAACUUGGAAAAAAUCAAAAUCAGCCAAAAAUAACAAUAUAAAAUCAGAUACAAUCUACACAUUAUAAAUAAUACUCAAAAUCAGAUAUAGUAAAGUUUUAAAUCACAAAUAAAUAUACAUUUACUAAAUAAUCAAAAUCAGAAGUAGAAUAUUAUUAUACAUUUGUAUUAUAUAUUUUCUACAAACUAUUUUUUAAUAAAAAUUAAUAGGUUUUUGCUUUUUAAGAACUAGAAUCUAUAAAUUUGUAAAAAAAAUUUAAAAUUGUUAUUGUGUUUUGAUAUAUUUUGUUUAGUUUACAACCAAAGCAUAUAAAGUCAUUUCAAAAGCAUAAAAUGCAUUAGUGUUUGAUUAUUUUAUUUAUGUUUCGAUAAAAUCAAUUAUUGUACAUUUAUUUUUUUUUCUCCUAACAUUUGGACAUAGAAAAAUUGUGUCCUUAAAUUGAUUAUAAUGAAAGUCCUAUAACAAUUACAAAUAAAAUUAAUUUAUAAACUUUAUUUUACAAAUCAAUUUUAUAAAACUGAGUUAAACUUAAAUUUUAUUUUUUUAUUAUAUUAUUUUUUGAAGGUGUUAUUGAUUAAUCUACUAUGGAGCAUAUAAACAUUUAUAGGUGCAGCAUUACUUUGGCCUAGGUGGUAGAAAAACAUUUAGUGCCAAUGGAUAUUUUAAGCUUAUGAACACAAUUUACUACAAACUAAUAAUUUAUGUAGCUUAAUCUGAUAAGAAUAUUGACAUGAUUUUCAACUCAUUAACAUUUUAAAAGUGUUAGAAGAUGGUAGAGAGGUAGACGUUAAAGCCAUCAGGAUUAGGAUCUCUUGAAGUAAGUAAUUCUGACACUAUAAAGUUAGAUUUUGUCAGACAAUAUAUGAUAAUAUAUAUAUUCAUACAUCAAAUAAAAAAUUCCUGUUUAAUUUUAUACUAUAUGAAAACUGUUGAUUCAAAAUAAUCACAUGCUACGAAUAAAUUAGAUUUUAUAUGAAAAGCCUUUAAAAAACCAGAACUAAUAUGAAAAAAAAAAUCAAACUGUCUUGUACCCUGUAAAAGUAAAAUGAAAAAGAAACGUUGGCCAGGAGGUAAAUACAUAUGAAUUAUUUGAGAGACCAGAGAUUUCGAAAAAAAAAAAACAGUGAUAUAUGAAAAAAUGUAAUGUAUUUGAAAAGCUGCGGUAUUUGAUUGGUAAGAUUAUGAGAGGAUACUGCUGCUGAAGAAAACAAAGACAGGAAAGCAACUCCAUGAAAGGGAAACUAAGCUUGAAUUCGUAAUCGUUUUCAGUUCAACAAGAGAAGCUUCCCGAUUAUUACUACUUAUUUUUUUCUGCAUUUCCAAACAAAUAAUUGAGCAAAGUGUCAAAGCCUGACCCUUCUUUUUCUUUGUUACAGAGAAUAAUCAAUAAGCAGAACUUGUUCAUUUUGUUCGAUGCUCUGACAAGCAAAAAAAUGUUACAUUUUCAUGUUAUAAAAUGUUAAAUGUUCUGUUUUCCAUCCUUAAUGAUAAGUACAGAAAAGAAAGAUAUAUAUAUAUAUAUAUAUAUAUAUUUAUUGGUAGAGGUGGAGUUUAAGCCUAACUCAACCUUUCAAUGUGGGACUUCCAACACACCUCCUCACAAACAACAUGUCCAACAACAACAGAAAUAGGAUAGACUUCAAUCAUAACUCGGAUACCAUGUUAGAAGUGGAGUUUAAGUCUAACUCAACCCUACAAAACUGGAUUGUUGAAUGAGGUUUGCACCCACUUAUAUACACUUAAAUGACUUUAUCUCUAGUCGAUGUGGGACUUCCAAUAUAUAUAUAUAUAUAUAUAAAUGUUUGAACUAGAUAUAAAUUGUUGAUAUCGAGUAAAAGAUAAACCUAAUUCAUAAUAUAUUUAUAUUAUAUAAAUAUAUAUGAGUGUAAAAAACUAAUGUUAAACUUAACUUAAAAUGUACAUUUUAACAUGAUAUUAAAAUUAUUGUUAAAAGCUAUUCUACGUUGUUGUUUAGAGGAGGUAGGGGGGCUAGGUAAGGAAAAAGUAGGCGUGGGAAGAGAAUCUUGGGUCUGACACGUGUGGAAUGAGUGUGUGGUUAGAAAUAGAUGUAUAAACGAAAAUGUUGGAGGGAGAAUACGAUAGGUCAUGCCCCAAUCUACCAAAUAGCUUCAUCAAAAGGCGUAUACAUGUUGCCCUUCUGCACCAAAAGCCUGAAUCAAUCAACAUGUAUCCAGGGUCAUCUUUCACUUAUUGUAAGAUCAAAUUUUCAUCUAAUUUAUAUAUAUUAUAUUCAGAAAUCUAACAUUGCUUAAAGUUAAUCUUAUUUUAUAUAUAAAUGAGUAAAAAACUUUUAUCCAUGUUAUGCAACAAACUUAAAAUAUGAUUAGAAAUUUAUGUUUGUAUCGUCAACGAGAUCUUUAAAUACUUCUUCCUUCACUAUCUCAACGAGGAAGUUUAGGUUAUAAUUCAAUUUACAAAAUUGUUUUUUAAAAACGAAAUUCACGUUGUUUUUAAUAUUUUCUUUCAUAAAUUUAUGAAGUACUGAAACAUGUUACGUAACCUGCUAUAUAAAAUACACGACAUAUUAUUCUUGUAUUUUUUUAUCUGUGAGAAUCAUAAACUUCUAUGUCAAGGAGUUUUAUAAGAAGUUUACAGUGAUGGUUACCAUACUUUUUUUGUUCGACGAGAAACUCUAGGGUUUAUACUUACAUUUUCUUCUUUGUCUUUGUUACGUCAUUUCAUUCUAACAUUUUGGAGAUGAAAACUUAAAGCAGAGCGUGGUCUGAUAUUGAACUUUGUGUGAUUUUCCUUUGAUGAUGUUAAACUGUUGAAUCAAAGUUUCUUUGAAGAUUUAAUUUUUUUUUUUAUUUAUUUAUACACAAGCAAUAUGUGGUUUUAAAUUUUAGCCGUCAGGCUCGUUGAAUUCUUCAAUCAGAUUGUUCUUAGAUCUAGAAGGGUUUGAUAAUUAAGUUUUAAUUUUUAUGUCAAAUUAGCCUGGAUCACAGUUUCAUAUAAUUAAAAAUAUGUAGCAUGACCUUAACAAUUUCUUUCAUAGUAAUUAGUUACUAUUUGAUAACUAAUUUGCUGUGUCCACCAAAUUAUCAGAAGAACUCUUAAAUUUUUUUUCGUAAUAUUCUCUAACAUGACGUGCAUUAUUUCACUUUGAUAUUAUUAUAUGCUUUGAUGAAAUUUGAGUAAAUAAUUCAGUGAAAUUAUUUUUUGGAGAUUCAAUAUCACAACUUUAAUUGGAAAUUGAAUAAGAAUUGCACUAGAAUUGUGUAUUAAAUGCUAACCAAGCAAAAAAUGGGUAUAUAUUUGUUGGGUUUGAAUUGAAUUUUUGGUUUUGAAGCUUAUACAACAGGCCACACCACAUGGCGUGGAAAAGGCAAACUAUUAGGAUGUGUCUUUCAUUUUAAGGGAAAGGAAGAAAAAUGUCUUAUUUCAUAGUCAAUUACCGUCAGUCUUUCUGUCGGCCAGUUUCUAUAUUCAUACGUCCAAGUCUGAAAUUCUUCACAUUAUUUUUACACAUGGAUUCAAAUCACUUCUUUCAUUAAACUUGUUUUUCAUUUUCUAACUAAAAACCAAAAAAUUAUUGAAGAGAGGAUAAUUGUUAGUUUUUAUGAGAUGCUAUUUUUUAAUUUAAGAGACAGCAAAUAGACAGAGAUGAUUCGAGUCACAUACGCAUACCUCUUCUGUCUAUGCUCUUAGCUAUUUUUAAGAUAAAGUUGUUCUGGUGGGCGUUGACAUACAAUGUAUAUGCAUACAGCUGUUCAAGUUAAGGAAUAAUUAAUCAAUCCAAUGCCCAUAAAAACGAAAAAAAAAAAAACUUCAUCAAUCUUCUUGGUUCUGUUCUGGGGCAAUUAUUUUGUUUUCUUUUUAAGGUAAGUAGUGGAUCCCAUGUACCCUGACCAGAUUGUAUUCAUCAUACUUUUGGAAUGCGAAGCACUCAUGAUUUAAUUUACAAUUUAUUUUUUUCUCUUUGGGAUAAUUGUCCAAGUUACCUUCACCCAACACCCCUACCCACAAGUUUUUCUCCUGUAAGGAAGACCAUAAAAUAUCUAGGACAAAGCAAAAUCGUAACCAUAAUGUUUUUGGUCGUACCAACACUCAUGCAUGUUUUCAAAAUCCAAAACCAGAAGUAUCAGUACAACACAAACUUAAUGUUUUGUUUAGACGAGAGAAGUGUCUACAAGAUGCUAGCUAGGAAGAUCUUUAAUAAUAGGUUAAGCAAAAUCUAGCUACGUAAAUUAUUAGCUAUAGGCAGUGAAUGGAACACUAGAAGAUGAUAACUUUCAACCAUCAUUAUUAGAUGGUGACAUAUAUGAAGGGAUAUUUAAUACUGGGCCAAAGUGACAAAAAAACUAUGAUCAGGAUAGAUAUAAACUGAUUUAAGUGAAUAGAUGAGUUAACUUAUUCGUUCUGGUGUUGUUGGUAGUAUGCAACACUUUUAGAAGAGAGAGUGAGAGUGAAUGGUAAUUAUGGAGGGUAGAGAAGGAAGAUGCAGGAACAUAGGUAGAAGGCGUGAGGAAUAAGGUUGUGAUUUUAUGUUACCCCAAAUCCAAGUGUUUUGUCCCCACGCCGUCACUUGGGGCCACAUUAAGCCACAACAUCUCAUGUGCUUUCUUACCUAUCUUACUCCAACACGUGAAGCUGUCCACGCUGGACUGGGGAAUGCAUCUAUACCCUUAUGUUCUCAUAUUUUUUUUUAGGAUAUAAAUUUACAUUUAUAUAGGUUUAAAUUUUUUUUGUCCCUAGUUAAGUUCUGAUGUUUAGUUUAGUCUCUGCUUUUAAAAAUUUCAACCUUUAGUCCCUAUGAUAUAAAAAAUGUAUCAAAUCAGUCCUCAUGACAGCACUUAAUCAACAAUAAAUCACAAGUUUUCAUACUUAAGUAUCUAAUAUUUUGUGAUUUGUUAACAGAAGGUGUUAUGAACAACAAAUCACCUAAUAAAAAAUUUGUGAGUUAAUCAACAAGUCUACAUUAACUCAACUAUUUCUAGGAACCGAAGAUCUCUUUUUUCUUUCUAAAUCCUAAAUAUCUCGAUGUUUAUUUUUAUUUGAAUGCAAGAUUUUGGGUUAAGCUAUAUUACAUUAAAAUAACACGAUAAUUGUUAUAGUUAUGUCUAUGACUGAUUGGAUUCUGAAUUUUGUUUACAGAAUGGCAAGUACAUUCGCAAAGGGAGUGAUUAUGUUUGAGUUCUGGUCUAAGAAUUAAAUAUCGCAGUAAAAAAAACGUGAUAUUUAUGUUUUGUUCUCCAGAACUAUCAUACAAAAUGUCUUUAUUCGUUGAGGAGAAUAUGACAAGACUCUCACGUGAUGCUCCCCAUCCAGCUUAUCAGUUUUAUCAGUUUUCCCAGACGGCUAAGGAUUUUUUUAGGCGUAAGGCAAUAUUAAAAUUAGGAAUGGUAGGAUGACUCUUUUUCAUUUGACCCAUGCCUUUAUAAUCAUUUGAUUCGUGAAUAAAAUGAUUAUAAAAAAAUAAUUUUUUUAUUUACUUAAAAAAAAUAAUGUCAAACGGAUAUAAAAAUAUAAAAAGUUUAUGUGUGUUAAAAAAAAUCAUUUUUCUAUUAAAAGUAAUUUUUUUUCUCGUACUCAAAUAAUUUAUUUAAAUUUGUAUAGUUUUAUUUUUAUUUUUUAGGUUUUAAUUGUGAUGUAAAUUUGCGUCUAAAAUUGUUAGAAUUAAUUUUAUGUAACAUUUUUAAAAUACUUAGUUCAUGCCCUUCAAUCUUUAUUAUAUAUAAUUGCUCUUAAGUAACUUUUUAUUAAUCUUAUAUAAAAGAAUUCAUUUUAACUUAAAUAUUUAAUCUUAUUCUAUAAAUUGUAUUUAUAUUUUGAAAAUAAUCUGUAUUUUUAUUUUUAUAUAUAUAAUUGAGAAUGUCAAUUAAUUAAUUUAUCAUUUUUAAUUCCUGUCAUUUUUAUAAGAUAGAAAAUAAAUCUAAUAUAUCAGUAUUUAAGGAAUUGUCGGUUUUCAAGAUUUUUUAAUAUUUAGGCAUCUCUUUCAAAAUUAUAUUAUAUAAUAAAAAUUAAUCAAUAUGAAAUUUUGGAAGAGAUUUUAAAAUUUCAAAUUCAAUACUUUCAUCAAAUUUUGUGUUUUGUAUGAUUAAUAUGAGUUUUUUUAAGGAAGAUUAGGUUUUAAAUUCAUUUCAAACCCUAUUUUUUUGAGAAAAGUCAAUAAUUCAAACCCAAUUUUCCUAUACCUUUCAACAAAAAAUGAAAAAUAAAACUUCUUUUUGAUUGUUUAAUAUAGUCUAAUUAGAGAAGACAAUAGGCAGAUGUAUAUCACAUUAUAUUAUCAAAAUAAACAUUCAUCUUCAUCUUCAUAAUUAAUAAAAAUAAAAUUUUGAUCUCAUAUUCAUUUUAAUAGAAAAUUACUUUACUCAUACUCAUCAUUCUACUAUUCUAAAUAUAAUUAAAUAUUUUAAUAAACUAUAAAAAUCACAACUUAAAAACAUGAUAUUAUUAAAUAUUUAAUGUUAGAAAAACAACAUAUUUUAUUUUUUUAGAAAAUCAAAUGCCUAUAAUUAAAUAAAUAUUAAAUAAGAGUAACAAAUAAUAAUUUUCCAUACCUAAAUUAGAUAUUACUUGUACUCAAUCAUAUCAUUUUUAGUUAACAUAAAAAUGAACUCAAAUAACCAGAUGAGCAAAUUAAUUUCUGGUCCCCAAAUCUAAUUAAUGCACACAUCUACAUUAUUUAAUUGUAACUUUGAACUAAAAAGGCUAGUUGCAAAUAAUAUAUCGUACCAAAACAAUCACUUUAGACAAAUAUUCAAAUAUUAAUAUCCAGAUGUUUUGUCUUGCUCACCUUCAUGUUUCCUUUCAUAUUAACGACCCAUUAUCAUAUUCUUAUUAAUAUCAAGUUCAACAAGUUUUAAUAAUAACAUCAAGAAGACUUUUUUUUCACUUGUAUAAUUUCUUUCUUAAAUUCCAAAAAAAUAUCAUUAAACUUUACGCAGUUAAUGAAAUAUUUCUUAAAAAAACUGACAAAUUACUAUAAUUUUAGUCAUUAAAGUAUAGUGACCAAAUUAAUCGUGGAAACAAUUGGUGAAAAUCUCAGGCGAAUUUAGAGACAAAAAUUAGUUGCCAAUUUGAUGACGAGAUGAGUAACUACUUUAGUAAACAAAAUUACUGACAUAAAUAGUGAACAUUUGUUUUUAUUAAUUUAGUGAUGAAAUUAAGUCAUUCACUGUAUUAAUAAAGUUUAGUAAUUGAUUAUAGAUAAAAAUUAGUGAUCAAAUUUACGGCGGAAUAAGCAACCCGUUUUCUUGAAAAAUUAGUGACUAAAAUUAAUUAUUAUUUAAGUGAUGAUCAAAUUUAAUGACUGAGAUAUAAUCUAUUAUCUUCUCAGUUUUUACAUUCUUAUGUUACAUUGCAUGUUCUAUAUAAAAGUGGGUUGCAUUAUUGCAUACACAUAUUACUACUUAUGAUUGAAUACAAUAAAUUUGAAAAUUAUUAAUAAUAUAAAUAGAUAGCAGUUUAUUAUUUAAUAUUUAUUUGAAAGAUUAAUUAAAAAUGUAAUGCGAUAAAAAGAAUGUUAGUAUUUGAAAUUGAAAUCAUAAUAUAUAAAAUUAAUUAUUGAGUUUAUACAUAAAUAGUAUUGUAACUAGUGCAGCGAAGAGAAUAUACCGCGAUUAUUUUUCACUAUAUAUCGCGGUUUAUGAACCGCGGCAUAUUCAGCCGCGGUAGUAAGUUAGAGACUUUAGGCCGUGGUUACAAACGCGGUAAAAUGAUUGGGGAAUAUACCGCGGUUGUAGUAGGAACCGCGACCUAAACCCCUUUUUUUAAAAAAAAUAUAUAUAUCCACAGUAUAGGUCGCGGUUGGACCGCGGUAAAAAACCCAGGAAUAGACCUGGCACUAACCGCGACCAUAGGUCUUUAAAAAAAAAAACGAACACGUUAUACGGCGGUUGUGGUAACAACCGUAGCAUAUUCCCCUGCAGUUUUUUUAAAAUAGCAGGUCUGUUUUUGUGAUAUCCACUACCACAAAAACAGACCUGCAUAUCAAAUACACGUUCAAAUUCAUUUUCAACAGAACAAACACAUGUUAAAAUGUAUUUUAACAUCAAAUAAAGUACAAAGUCUAAUAAAAUACAAUCAAAUCAAAUGCAAUGUUUAAAUCUAGUAACUAAGAUCUAUUGUAUAAUCUAACUAUAUAUUUUGCAGCAGCGUUCCUCAUGAAUAAUAGUGGCUUCUCAGGAACUGGUGUAGUAGUCUUGAAUUUCUGCACAAGACAAUUCAUAUUAAUUAGUGUAUAUGAAUUCUAAAUUUGGGAAAAAAUCAAAAUUUGUUAAAGUUAAAUAUUGCCGUUUUCCAGCCUCUUGUGAUGUGAGAACGAACAAUUUGGGUCAUCCAAUACAUUACAUAGUAUUCGCACUCAUAUGACCCAUUUUGUCUGUUACACUACAAUAUAUCAUCACAGUUGUAAAUAGUUAGUGAAUAACAUUAAAAUAAAACAACUAUAAGAAAGUAUGGCUUUAGAAUAUGUCAAACCUUGAGAGAAAUCCAAGCAAUCUUUCUACUGUUAACAAUUGAUCUCCCAACCAUCAUCAUACUUGCUGGAAUAGAACUAUAUAUAAAAAAAGGUUUUAGCAUUCAUUUAUAUAACAAANAAAGUCCAAACAUUGANGUUCUUACCAAUCAAUUGCUUGUCUGAGAUGUGUGGGAGGAGGCCUGUGCAAUGAGCAGAACCACAAAGCAUANUUCUCUUGCAUAGACAUAACAAGAAGCUGCCAAUGACGCCUGAAAUUCAUAAUAACUUAACUAUUAUAUAUUAAAAUCACAUAUGGAACUUUAUUUUGUUAACAAAGUUCUCUUACCCGGAUAUAUAAGGCAAAAAGUAUAUUUUCUUGCCGCGGCCAAAACUUCUUAUCAUAUUUGUGUUGAUCUGAUCAAAAUCAUUUGAUUCAUGAAUUGAUUGGGGAUCAAUGAAUCCAUAAUCAUCAGAAUGCCCCAACUUGUUACUGACUCCAGACAUAUACCUGAUAUCAAAAAUUAACUUUGAUAUAAGUAUACUUGAUAUAUAAAUCAAUUUUAUAUAUAAAUAAUUGUUCAUAGACUUACAUCAUUCAUAGCUGAAUAAUUGAAAUAUUCAACUCUUGUGUUCCCGACGCAAGCUCACUGACAUCUUGGCUAUGAAGGUAUAUUGGGACCUCAGAGCCUGCCCAAAUACAUUAGCAUCAUACUCAACCUCCAAAGGCUUAUCUUCAAGGAUGUCAGCAAGUAGAUGCAAUGAAGCAAGAGGAUCAUCCUCAGAUAGAGGAAUCUUCUCCUGUGCUUGCAUCUGUUGUUACAUGAAAAAAUAAGAUAAGUUUUGACAUCAAUAACCUUUAAAAUUGAGAAGUGUAAAGAAGAAUUUCAUACCGAGGGGUCAGAAACUGAACCAACCAAAUGUUUAGGCCAAGCGAUAAAGGACUUCAAUGCUUGUUCCACAAUGAAAAUCUCUUCUGUGCCCAGAGGAACUGAGGCAUCUGGUAUGAUCAUUUCGUCCACUAAGACCUUCACCUCAUCCUCUAAUAGUUGCAUACCAUGAACAACAGUCGCUGACCUAAACAGUGUUCCACAAGCUACCAGGACCGUCUCGGUAUCGUCUAAAAUGUAUAGCAGACAUGGACUAGCAUCGUCCAAGUCAUCCCCUGGGACGGCUGGUGCGGAACAACUUCCUUUCCCGCUUCUCCCUGUCAAAGUAAAUGUUAGAUUAUACAAAAGAUAGAAAUAAUUGCACAUAAAUGUUUAUUAAGUUUACCUGUGGGAGGCACAACAUGUUCCUGUUCCUGUACAGGAAAUGGCAUCGGGUGCAUGCCAUAGGUCUCCAACCACUGCUGGAACAUGAAGCUGAACUCACUAUACAAUUCAGCCCUGAGCUGCUCAGAGAACCGCGGCCUAUUCCCCUGUUAUUUAAUUUUUUUGCAUACGUGGCGUUAAAGAUGAUGGUUGACUGGGGUAUAUGUCGCGGUUAAGAGGAGAACCGCGGCAUAUAAGUUUGAUUUAUUUACAAAACUGCCAUCGCGCACCAUUAUGUUGCGGUUUCUGGUGAACCGUGGCAUAAUGUGCGCUGUAUAAACCAAAUUUUUUACUACUAUAUAUGCUAUUUUUAAAAUUCUUAUCUCUAGUGUAUACUUAAGUUAAUUUUUACUUGUAAUUUUUUUUUUGUCUAUUUCAUUCUCCUAAAAGUAAUUAUGAAGAAAGUUUCCAUAAAUAGGCUUUUAGUAUUGGGUUCUGUUUAUUGCAUUUCAUAUCCAGACGUUGCAUGUUGAAAUGCACUUGACCACCAGAUGCUUAGCGAUAUGGGGAACAUUUGAUCACUAGUUUCAUCACAGUAAUAUUUUAUUUUUUCCGUGAUUAGAAAAAGCUGAAGAUUUAAGUUAAGGUUGAGAAAGAAUGAAGUGAAAAUAAAGUAGAUGAUUAAUUGAUAUUACAUACGCAGGCAAGAGGCAAGAAAAUCAUGGUUGCUUUUUAAAGGGCACCAAUUAGAGUUGUCAAAACGGAUAAUUCGGGUCGAUUCAGUUCAGUCCACUAUGGGUUGGUCACUUAGUGAUCCAACCUAAUCUGGCUCAUUUAUUAUCGAGUUAGAAAAAUCUGAAUUCGGUCCGAUCCACUACGGGUUGAUAGGUAAACGAGUUGACUCACUAACUCAUUUAAUCACAAUUUUUUUAAAUAAAAAAAAUUACAAACUUUCUAUAAUUUAAUUUUAAACAAAUUUCACUCCCAAAUUUUACUCCCAUAAUUUUUAAUUCAUUUUGAAAAUAAGAAACUUAAAUAAUUUUUUCAAACAAAAAUUAAUAAUAAAUAUCUUUUUAUAAAUUUAAAAUUAAAUUUUAAUAAAAUAAAAUUAGGUAAGUGGAUUGACGAACAAACCCGACCCACUGUGGAUUCAACCUUUGAAAUCUGACCUGCAUGAAAAAAAAAAAAUACAAUUUUUUUUAAAUCCAACCUGAUUCAAACCUGUAGUGGACUAGAUUGAUUAACAAGUUAUAACCCAUUUUGAGAGUGCUGGUACCAAUGUUAAGACCAAGAACAACCCCAACCCCGAUGAUACGGCAAACUGAUCCGCAGGCCAAGGUGUCAGCAAGGGUAAACCCAGCAGGGCCACCAGUCUCCCUCGCCUCCAGCUUUAGGCCUUCAGGAGCUAAUCCAAACCUUCCAGCAAACAGCAUCUGUGGCUUCUUAUGCAAUCCGCAAUCCACAAGAUUGUUUCAUGUAUAAACAAUAUCUUCUUAUCUACCUACCCACUAAAAAUUGAAUCUACCCAGAUGAAACAACAAAGGGACGAGGAGACUCAGAAAUUACUCAAACUCAUAUGAUGUUGCCAGAUUAGUGGAUGAACCAAAUGUUGUCACAUCUAGCUCCCCCUUGCGCCUCGUGGUUAGGACAUCGACCUGAACAAAAACAGACCCAGUUAUGACAGUCACGUAUCAGAUGCAAGUAAUCCAUGAGAAAUGGUCAAAGCAAAAAGAUCAUGUUCCAACUGGGUCUAAUAUAUAUAUAAUAAAUAGGCCAUGGUAAAUGUAUUAGAUAAAAAGAUGGUAAGUGCUGACCUAACUCUGCACAGGGGCAGCUGAGAAUUGGGUUUAAGACCACUGAAUUGGGAAAACGAAAAUAUAUGUUUGGUCUCUUCUCUCUAAACUCUCCUUUUUUUCUUUGAAAUGUUUUCCAGGUUGCUUUGGUUGCACAAUCUGAUAGAAGUUUCAGUGAAACAGUAUCUAAUGACUGUUUUAUAAAUAAUAAUUAUAUUUAAAAAAUUAAAAUGUACUUUAUUCAAAUAUAUGCAUGUAUUAUAAUUUAAACAUUAUAUUAUUAUAUUUAAAAUUAAAAUUACAUUUUAUAAGAAUAAUGGUAGAAUAUAUAAUAUAAAAAGUAUAAAAAAAAACAAACAAAAUGACCAAAUAAUUUAUUUAAAAAAUUUUAAAAUUAAUUAAAAUUUCAUAUAUUUGAAAUUUAUCAUCAAAAUUUAAACUACUUCACAUGUGAAAUAUUAUUUCAACAUGUAUUUCUGUGAAUUUUAUUCACGAAGUUCUUUCAUAUAUAAUUUUGUGAAAUACUAAUAGUUUUCACUUAGUUGUGUUAUAAAAAUGAUUUAACUUAUAAAUUUACCCAGACUACAUUUUAAUAAUAAAAAAGAGGUAGAUGUAUCUAAAAGGUCAUGUGUAAAUCCUAGAUUGUAUCAAAAAAUCUUAGUAGGAAGUACUAAAAUAAAAUUAUUGUGGCAGUGGCAUAGGUGCAUUAUUUUGUUGAGUUUGGUAUGUUGUUGUGUGCGUGAAGGGUGGCAGUUUCCAAAAUCAGUUGCGGUCCUUAACUUUUUUGUACCAAGAAAAGCACAAAAAAUUUCCUACCAUUAACGGUAACAUGAAAGAGAUGAGAUGGAAGGUCUUGGACUCAAUAAUUCCUGUGCCAUGCCAUCAAAUCAGACAAGAAGCAGUGAAUCGAAGGAGACAGAGAGAGAGAAGAGUGGCAGAGUUAUCCACAUGCCAAUCCUUUUCUCUCAACCUUUUCUGUACGCGUGCUAACCUAGAUCACCACACACAACACUAAGUUUCUCCAAAUAAACAUACAAUGUUUUUGUACUUCCAUAAUAUAUAUAGGAUGACAUUACUAUUCAUUUUUCGGCACAGAAACUCCAUCCAUGAAAAAUCAUUUUCCGCUCUCCAUUAUGUCACACCUCUUUACCUAGCUCUGCAUGCCACCCACCACAUGCAAUGUUUAAUCCACCCAAGUUCGUUGCACUUUACUCAUUUUUAUUCUAGUUUUGCCAAUAUUGCAUCGCGCUGGACUCCCCUUCUCAAUCAAACUUUAUCCCUUUCCUCUUUUCCUUUUUACUUACAAAAUCCUCAUUAUUUUUAAUAUUAGAAUCAAAAUAUUUUGAAAAAGCUGUGCCUUUGAUUAACUCUAGUUAGGUAUAGUCUUCUUCCAAUCCAAUCCAAACUCUGCUAACUUUAUAUGGGCCAAUAUCCUUUGCGGCCCAGGCCCACACAAAACGGAAAUGGACCUGAAAUAGAGUUAAAAGAUUAAAGAAUAAGAAACAGAUGAAGAGAGAGGAGGAAGCUAAUGUGUGGUGAUGGAGAGAGAGAGCGAAAAGGCGAAACUCAAAACCCAUUUGAUAUUCGCGUAUGGCACGUUGAAGCGAGGAUUCCCCAACCACUAUCUGAUGGAGGAGCUGAUGAACCAAGACGACGCCGUUUUCGUUGGAGUCUACUUGACUGAGGAUCAUUACCCGCUGGUCUGUGGCCCUCACGGCAUACCUUACCUGAUCAACCUCCCCGGGUUGGGGCACAGGGUGAAGGGCGAGAUUUAUGCUGUGUCGGAGGGCGCGGUGGCUAAGUUGGAUGAGUUCGAAGGCGUGAGUUCCGGGUGCUACGAGCGGUUACCGUUGACGGUGGUUGCGCCGGUGGAGGAGGGUGGGGGAAGGGUGGAGGCGGAGGCGUAUUGGGGACACAGGAGGUUCGGGGAGGUGCUGUGGAAGACGAAGGGGGAGGUGGGGUUGAAGGAGUAUGGGGAGAAAGAAGCGAAGGAGUACGUGAGGAAGGAGAACAGACUGGGUGGCAGAAACAGUAUUCUUGACCUUGUUCCUUAAUUUCUGUGUUUGUUUGUUGUUGGGUCAUCAAAGAAUCUGGGACCAUUUAUUGUUUUUAUAGUGAUUGGUGUUAUUUAUCAGUUAUAUAAAUUAUGUACACCUUGUUUGUCCAUUUCUUAAAGAUGAAGCAUUAUCAUACAUGCACUCCACAACACAUAAUAUUGAAGGAGAGUUGAUGGAAUUAUUUAUAUCAUGCAUGCUCAAGCCCAACAAGGUUUUAUCUGGGGCUGGGAUUUCUCUGCAGAAUGUGACACAAGUUACUGAAUUUAAUUAAAACGAUAGACGGAUGAAAAGGGUGAAUUAUAAGAUGGUACAAAACUGCAAUUAGUGUCUGUCUCAUGGAUGGAGAUUUGCACAACAUUAGAAUAUAAUUAAAUAGUAAAAAAAUUAAUUAGAUUCACUGAAAAUGUGUAUCCUCAUGCCAAUCCUAUCUUAUUAAUUAUUGAAUGUGAUUAAAGACUUUCGAAAUUAUCAAUUCAAUUAUAAAAAUAAUUUUAUUAUUUAAUAAAACUGUGAGAACCAAAAAGGGAUCUAAUUCUUGUUUUCACUCACUUUUUCUGAAUACACUCAUCGACUCUUAUUCUGAAUAUUUUUUUUUUUUUCAGAAACUUUGAUGGGAGACAGGAAUUAAACACACAAAGACAAAACAAGGGACACACGUGAAAACUUUACCGAAUGUAUUUUUUUAAUCUCUUCUCAGGUUGGGCUUACGCACAAAAUGGGCCUUGAAGAUGCAAUGUUGGGAGCUUUCCCCCUGAACGUCUAAGGUUUUUCCCUGUACACAAACACAAUUACAUAAUCACUUGAAUUCUGAAAAACAUUUGGGGAAUGAAAUCAUACUCUUGCAAUGAAAAGAAAAGAAAAGAAAAUUGAAAAAAAUUUUGGACCGUGUCAUCCUUGCGCAGGACCAUAUAAUAAUAAUACGGAAUGAUUGAUUAAAAAAUUAUUUUAAUGGAUAAAAUUAAAUAAUUAUUAUUUUAUUUUCAAAGAUAAAUAUGAUAUAAAUAUUAUUAUUAUUAUCGGCUUAAAAAUUAAUGAAAUAGGAUAAAAGAACUAAGAGAAUAAAAAAAAACAAAGUAAUAAUUUCGUGAGGCUAGAAUCGAUUAUGUGCAAAAAAAAUAAUGAAUUUUUACACUUCUCGUUACAUUUCGUGGGAACCAGAAUCGUUAUUUUACAUUGCACAGUAAAUUCUUCCUUAUCUCUCCACCAAUACUAGGAUGUAAAUAGGAUACCGACCCGCAAGUCCAUUCUUUUUAAAUACCUUUAAAUUCAUUGAAACAAAUAACAUAUCCAUUCGCAAAUUCAUCCAUUUGCACACUACAUAAGUGAUACAAGCACACGCAAGAUAUUUACUAAGAUGUGUUGACUUUGAAGAUACAUAUAAGGAAGAGUGAGAUUUAUUUAAGUAAAUUUAGAUGAAUUUUAUUGAAUAAAUAUUAAUAUAAUAAUAAAAUAUAUAUUACAUUGAACCUAAAGAGUAAGGUAAACAUUAAAAGUCAAAACUUUCUAUUCUAAGCUUGAGUUUUACUAUUAAUUAUCAUAUGCUUUCUAAAGACUUCAUCUAAACUCACAUCAUUAAAAUGAUCAUUACAAAAGAAAAACAUAGCUAAGGACAAACAACACAAAAGUAAAGAUAAACUAAAAUACCCAAAGCUCAUACAUGCAUUUUUAAAACAAUAAUAAUAAACAUCCAUAGUAUAGCUCAAUCAACACAUAACAUAAUUCCCAUCAACCAUGAAAAAUCCAAACUAUCCGGAUAAAUGCAUUGAUAUUGGACUCAUGGGAACUUGCACUCGUAUAUAAAGGAGCAACUUGUUCAAAAUAAUAACAACAUCCUCAACGAUCGCCAUACACUAAAGUUAAUCUGUCAAAUAUCUAUGGUCCAAACGAGUGACUAUAAACUAGGACCUCCUACUACUCUCCAUAACAGAAUCAUCAAUCUCUACAUUAGAUGGGGUUAUUGAGAGUGUCAGGAUCAUUUCCCAAUCUCGAAGUCCCUACUUCAAUACAUAACACAACAUAACUAACUUAGGACAUUCUUCCUUGGAAUUCCUUUCUCACAUGAUACUUGAAAUUCACACCUCACAAAUAUUUGAUUAUCACAAUCACAUCUCAUACAUAAUCAUAUUCAUAACUUUAUUUUCAUUUCAUAUAAUAAUCCAAUUCACAAACCUUUCACAACAUUCCAUACAACAUUGCAUACUAUCACAAGAAACAUCUUAUUAUACAUUAAACAACCAGAAACACCAUUACAAAUCAUCAUAAGUCACAUAAUAACACAAUUUUUCUUUAUAGCAUCUUGAUACCCACAUUAGGUAAGGAAAACAGCUUGGAAAGCCUCACCAACAGCUCCGAAAGGAUCUAAAACCCCCAAAAAAACCUAAAGAACAUCCAAACCUAAUAUCCAGAACCCUGAAAACCCCCCAAAACUAAUGCACUAGCUUUAGCGCCCUGGCCACUGGAAACGAGUGCUCAACACCCUAUUUGGGCACUCAAGCGCUAUCAAAACACUCAAACCCCUUUUAGACCACCUUGUACACUUCUCCCACAACUUUGAAAGAUUCCUAGGUCAUUGUUGAAAGGCUUUUGGUCGCACAAAAGUCAACAAACCUAAAUUCCCCACUAAUGUAGUAUAGGGGCAACCUAGGGUCUAAUCCAAGGACUUGGUUCUUGUUAAGUUUUANAAANGUAGAAUUAUGCCUAAUUAUGUAUUUACUAAGACUAGGUGGGGAAAGAAAAUAUGAAACUAAAUCUAAAAAGAGAAAUUAAAAGAAUUAAAAUCUAAGUACAACUAAUGGAAAAGUAGAAAGAAAACAAUGCAUGAUAUCUAUUCUAUAUUACAGUAACUGAUGCAAUCAGGAUUAACAAGACUAAGCUAAUGCAAUUAAAAGAAUCUUAAAAACUAAAAAGAAACUAAAACAGAAUUCACAAUCUAAAAUUCAAGUAAUAUGAAGAAAAUCCUAAUUUGGUAAUUAACUAAGUGAAUGAAUGAUAAGAACUAAUAUGGGAAUGANNNNNNNNNNNNNNNNNNNNNNNNNNNNNNNNNNNNNNNNNNNNNNNNNNNNNNNNNNNNNNNNNNNNNNNNNNNNNNNNNNNNNNNNNNNNNNNNNNNNNNNNNNNNNNNNNNNNNNNNNNNNNNNNNNNNNNNNNNNNNNNNNNNNNNNNNNNNNNNNNNNNNNNNNNNNNNNNNNNNNNNNNNNNNNNNNNNNNNNNNNNNNNNNNNNNNNNNNNNNNNNNNNNNNNNNNNNNNNNNNNNNNNNNNNNNNNNNNNNNNNNNNNNNNNNNNNNNNNNNNNNNNNNNNNNNNNNNNNNNNNNNNNNNNNNNNNNNNNNNNNNNNNNNNNNNNNNNNNNNNNNNNNNNNNNNNNNNNNNNNNNNNNNNNNNNNNNNNNNNNNNNNNNNNNNNNNNNNNNNNNNNNNNNNNNNNNNNNNNNNNNNNNNNNNNNNNNNNNNNNNNNNNNNNNNNNNNNNNNNNNNNNNNNNNNNNNNNNNNNNNNNNNNNNNNNNNNNNNNNNNNNNNNNNNNNNNNNNNNNNNNNNNNNNNNNNNNNNNNNNNNNNNNNNNNNNNNNNNNNNNNNNNNNNNNNNNNNNNNNNNNNNNNNNNNNNNNNNNNNNNNNNNNNNNNNNNNNNNNNNNNNNNNNNNNNNNNNNNNNNNNNNNNNNNNNNNNNNNNNNNNNNNNNNNNNNNNNNNNNNNNNNNNNNNNNNNNNNNNNNNNNNNNNNNNNNNNNNNNNNNNNNNNNNNNNNNNNNNNNNNNNNNNNNNNNNNNNNNNNNNNNNNNNNNNNNNNNNNNNNNNNNNNNNNNNNNNNNNNNNNNNNNNNNNNNNNNNNNNNNNNNNNNNNNNNNNNNNNNNNNNNNNNNNNNNNNNNNNNNNNNNNNNNNNNNNNNNNNNNNNNNNNNNNNNNNNNNNNNNNNNNNNNNNNNNNNNNNNNNNNNNNNNNNNNNNNNNNNNNNNNNNNNNNNNNNNNNNNNNNNNNNNNNNNNNNNNNNNNNNNNNNNNNNNNNNNNNNNNNNNNNNNNNNNNNNNNNNNNNNNNNNNNNNNNNNNNNNNNNNNNNNNNNNNNNNNNNNNNNNNNNNNNNNNNNNNNNNNNNNNNNNNNNNNNNNNNNNNNNNNNNNNNNNNNNNNNNNNNNNNNNNNNNNNNNNNNNNNNNNNNNNNNNNNNNNNNNNNNNNNNNNNNNNNNNNNNNNNNNNNNNNNNNNNNNNNNNNNNNNNNNNNNNNNNNNNNNNNNNNNNNNNNNNNNNNNNNNNNNNNNNNNNNNNNNNNNNNNNNNNNNNNNNNNNNNNNNNNNNNNNNNNNNNNNNNNNNNNNNNNNNNNNNNNNNNNNNNNNNNNNNNNNNNNNNNNNNNNNNNNNNNNNNNNNNNNNNNNNNNNNNNNNNNNNNNNNNNNNNNNNNNNNNNNNNNNNNNNNNNNNNNNNNNNNNNNNNNNNNNNNNNNNNNNNNNNNNNNNNNNNNNNNNNNNNNNNNNNNNNNNNNNNNNNNNNNNNNNNNNNNNNNNNNNNNNNNNNNNNNNNNNNNNNNNNNNNNNNNNNNNNNNNNNNNNNNNNNNNNNNNNNNNNNNNNNNNNNNNNNNNNNNNNNNNNNNNNNNNNNNNNNNNNNNNNNNNNNNNNNNNNNNNNNNNNNNNNNNNNNNNNNNNNNNNNNNNNNNNNNNNNNNNNNNNNNNNNNNNNNNNNNNNNNNNNNNNNNNNNNNNNNNNNNNNNNNNNNNNNNNNNNNNNNNNNNNNNNNNNNNNNNNNNNNNNNNNNNNNNNNNNNNNNNNNNNNNNNNNNNNNNNNNNNNNNNNNNNNNNNNNNNNNNNNNNNNNNNNNNNNNNNNNNNNNNNNNNNNNNNNNNNNNNNNNNNNNNNNNNNNNNNNNNNNNNNNNNNNNNNNNNNNNNNNNNNNNNNNNNNNNNNNNNNNCCUCACAGGAAGUGUUUGCACUCAAUUUCACUCAUGUGUUUAGGGUUGUCCUGUUUCACUCCUUCAUGACAUGUCAACCUCUAUUCUUAACUUUGAAAGGACUCUAAAUGACCAUGCUCAGCUCUUUGGUUUCAUCUAGAUCAAAAGGACUUUAUUAGCUUGUAAUGUAAUGGUAUGAAUGGUUAGAAAAUACAAGGCUAUAUGGAAAUGAAGAAACUGUGAAGAAGAGGAGAACCUAAACUCAGUGCACUCUUUUUGAUAAUUCGGCCAGUCCAAUUUCUUUUCUUUCUCUCUGGUUUUCACAUACUGUCAGGUCUCAUUUUUCAUAAUUUUGCACUUUUGCUCUUUUUCCAGACCUGCUCUCUUUUUUUUCUUUCUUUUUUUUCUUUUCUCUCAACACAACCAGAUUGCUCUUCUUAUUUUUCUUUUCUUUUUCUUGGCCUUUUUUUUUUCUUUUGCACUCACUAAGUUCCUAGAUCCUCCAUCCCUCUCACAGCUUCUACACAUUGGGUAAUGAUGGGGAAUAAGGCUUGUACUGAAUGGAACAAAGAAAAUGGCUAAGGCUCAAAAGAAAAGGUGCAAUGGUAAGAAAAACUAAUGGUAAAGCUAAAUGGUUAUGGAUGGUUAGAAACAAUGCCUAAAUCAUGUCUAGAGUCCACUAAGAGCAAGCUUUUCACAAAGAAUCAAUGCAAAAUCAGAAUGAAAAUCAAACAUGCAUGAAAUCACACAAGAAAGACAAACAAAUAGGCCCAAAAUCUCUCCAGGUUAAUCAUUUUACUAAAACUGAGUUACUACCCUCUUAUAUGCAAAAAUGCCUAAUUAAACUGAACUCAGAUGAAAAAACCAAAGCUAGGAAUACCUCUAUUUUAAUAUAAAGCAAAGAAUUACAUUAGCAGUUCUAAUUAACAAAAAUCAAACUAAGAAAUGAAUAAAAUCAGUAAAGAAUUGAGAAAGGAAUGAAAUAGAACUCAAAAAGAACCUAGAAUUACCCAGCAGUACGACUUAAAACUAUUUACAACCUAGAAAAACUAAAACUGGACAGAAUAUGACUAAGAAAACCUAACUAAACUCGAUUAGCUAAAAUAGUUCCUAAACCAAAGUUGUACAAGACAAAACAGCAAAAAGAAAAAGAAGAAAAUCAAAGAAGCAACUAUGAACCUAGCUAGACUAAAACAUAUUUAUGUUCAAAAGAAAGAAAGCCUAAGACAAUCCUAAACAGUAACAAAGAAUGUAAAAGAACCUAGGGAGCUAUUUAUAAAAACCAAAACAGAACCUAAAGACUAAAACCUAUUGUGUAAAUCUAAAACAGGGAAGCAAAAUCAGAAAAAUAAAAGAAACUCACAGCUAGUUCUAUUUACAGAAACAAUUUCAAAGAAUCUAACCUAAACAAUCUAAAAAAAACUAUCUAAAACAGAUUAAAAAAUAAAGACUACAAAAUUCCUAAUAGAAACCUAAACAUGACCUAUAAAAGAACAAACUCUAAAGCAAAAGCAAAGAAAAAAAAUAAAGUCUAAUCCUUAAACAUGUUAUAACAGUAUCAAAACAAACUAGAACUAAUACUCUCUAUACUGAAACCAAAAAAAAAUAAAUAAAUAAAUUUACACCUAUUUUUACUAAAAAAUUCACAGCUAUAUCAGAGGAAAAACAGCAAUUAAAACUAUACCUUCUCACCCCCACACUUAAGAGGCACAUUGUCCUCAAUGUGUGAAUGAGAAAGGUUUCCUAAACAGCAUAGGUAUACACAGUUAUUUACAGCACAGGAAUAUGAAUGAAAUAGCACAAAAAUCAGAAUGAAAAUAGCACAAAAAUCAGAAUUGAGCAAAAGAUGUUUGAAACAAGACCCAGGAAUUGUUCAUAUACACAAUGUUUAUUAACAAAGAUGUAAGAGCUAAGAAAAAGAAAAGCUUAUUCUUAUUGGGUCCCCUAUGAGCUGCUUUCUCCUUUUAGGUUGACCAAGGGCUGUGCAGGUAUGCCUCUUGAUUUCAUGUUCACCAAUUCGUUCACUGCAUGAGCCAGCUGCCCAAUUUGCAUCUUCAAAUCAUUUAUUGUUGCCUCCAGAGUUGGGUCCAUUUUGGGUUGUAUUUGUUGUUGAAUCUGCCUAUACUGCUGGUUCUGCCCUCCAUAUGAUGCAUUCUGCCUAUUUUGUUGUGUAUACUGGUUCAUGUUCUGGAUCAACCCAUUUGGCUGUUGUCCACUCUGUUGAUUAUAUGGAGGAGGCUCAUAUCUUGGAUUCAUCAUAUUUCUCCACCCCUGAUGUUGUGAGCUAGAAGCAUGGUUGUAAUGUUGUGGCUGAUUGUGGGUCUGCCAUGGCUGAUUAUUCUGUCUAAAGUUGCCUUGUUGGUUCUGGAAUGCAGCUGCCACUGAUUCAGCUCCAGUGGUGUCUUGAAGUUGAGAACAUUGGUCACUGAAGUGUUGGUCUGAUGCACACAGCCCACAGUAUCUCCUAACUGCAUUUACCUGGCCGCCAAGAGCCAUUUGCCUCAUUAAUUCAAUCAGCUCCAGUAUCUUAUUCCCCAGCAGCAUGUUGUUUUCAUUGAAAAUGUUGUUCCUCACUGCAUCAGAGAUUGCAUUCAGCUGAAUCUCAUGGACUCCUUUGCUGCUGCCACCUCUUGUGUAUGUCUGUUGAUAGUUUUCAGCCAUGUUUGCAAUUAAACUCCUUGCUGCAGAAGGUGUCUUAUCCAUGAGAGUGCCUCCACUUGUUGCAUCUAUCAUGUUUCUUUCUUGAGGCAGCAACCCUUCAUAAAAGUACUGCAGCAGCAGCUCUUCAUUGAUUUGGUGGUUGGGGCAGGUGGAACACAGUCUAUUAAAGCGUUCCCAAUACUCAAACAGGUUCUCUCCAGGCAGCUGCCUGAUGCCACUGAUCUCCUUUCUCACUGCUGCUGUUCUCGAUGCUGGAAAAAAUCGUUCCAGAAAUUUUCUCUUCAUGUCUCCCCAACUGGUUAUAGGUAUAUGCUGUGAAAACAGCCACUCCUUGGCAGCAUCCUGUAGGGAAAAUGGGAAGGCUUUCAUUUUAACAAUCUCCUCAGGUACGUCCAGCGGUCUCAUGGUUGAGCAGAUCACAGUGAACUCCAUUAUGUGCUUGUGAGGGUCCUCCCCUGCUGACCCAUGGAAUUUGGGAAGUAGUUGGAUGAAUCCAGACCUUAAAUCAAAGUUGGGGGCUCCUUGGACGUGAGGAACUUGGAUGCACAGGGGCUGAUACCCAAUGUCUUGAUUGGCUAACUCCUUCAAUGUUCUUUCUCUAGUCCCAGUAUCCAUCUCCUCAGUUUCUGAUGAAUCUGACACUUCCAGGACUGAUCCUGUGCCUUCAAAUCUACUCUGGAUUCUUUCUUUCUUGAUCCCUUUCCUGGUUCUGCCAAUCUCUGGAUCCAAUGUAUAGAGAGGGCUGUGGUUGGCCCUGGUCAUGCACUUUCAGCACUCAAACAGAGCUCACGAAUACUCCAAUGUCUGUCACCCAAUGGAAUUAUCCAAGAACCCAGUGCAAGAGAUCAAAGGUUCUACACUACAAAAGCUGAAAAUUCUAAAACUACAGCAAAGAGAAUUGAAAACUCAAGAAAACUGUAAAGAGCAAGGUAUAGAACACACUGCCUGUCACCCAGUGCGCGUACUCACGAAAUUACAAAACUCCCUUUUUAUAGGGAAAAUCCAAAAGCAGAAAAAGAGAAGAAAAAUGGGAAAAGGGGGAAAGAAUCAGUUACAGUAGAAGCUUCUAGAAUCACUCCUUCAACUACCUCUGAUCGCGACAGCUUCCCUUUGUUCUCCAACUGACACUGGUCCGAUCAACAUCUUCUGGUCACGCAUUUGGGCCGAUCAUCCUUUUGGGCUUUCUUCCUCUGGACUGUGGAGCUCGCAUCUCUGCUCUGGUUCUCCUCCUUGCACGAACCCUAGCUGUUGGGUUGAGAGGAUUUGGGAGAAAAAUCCCAAUUGCUUCGAACUUCUCUGCCUAAGUGCUUGAGCCUUACCCCAAAGGCAAUUUCCUCAAUUAGAACCUCGCUGCUUGAAACGCAGCGUUUCAUUAAUCAACUUCUGAAGGGUGCUCUUCUCCUCAGUACUGGCCCAGCUUGGUUGGCCCAAAUCAACACUUCAGAAUUAUUUUCCUUCAAAACGCACAGCUUCAGCACAUCAAUACCUAGCCCAACUCUUCCAGUCAUUGCCGGCCCAAAUUGCUUGGUUCAUUUUUUCAAGAGCUAAUCCUGUAAAAAGAAUGAAAAUGAAGAAUUAUACAGCAAAAAAAAGAAAGAAUAAAAUUCUAUAACAAUAAAAGAAAUUCUUAUUUUUAUUUUUAUUUUAUUAUUAUUAUUUUUUUUUUUUCUAAAAAGUAAAAUAACCUAUUUAUUUAAAAAUCUAUUUUAUUUAACUAAAAAGACAAAAUUAACACUAUUUCUAUUUAAAACCUAUUUUUAUCCUAAUUACUCUAAUCUAUGUUAAUUCUAGAAAAUUAAAAGCUAAACUAUCCUAAAAGAGUAAUAUUAACAUAAAAAAAUAGGAAAAUUUAGACACUUAACAGUCAUUUUAAACACGAUCGAUGAAACUUUAGAAAACACAUCUCUAACUCAAUUUGACCACUCCAAACCCAAAUUACCUAUCUAAACCACCCAAACUCAAUUUUACUUCUUUGAACACCCAUUUUCUACAACUAACAGCUAGAACAAGUGCUAAUAAACAUAAUAACAUACCUUAAACCAUCAAAUUGAACACAGACCUACUCCUUUAAAGAUUCACUACUCAUAAAUCCCAUUUAGUUAUACUCAAAAUCAUACAACACAACCUCGCUAACUCUUUAUUGCAUUACACACCAGAUUUUUACUGGUUUAACAACUCUCAUAAGUUCUAAAUGACUUUAAAACAAUUCCCAAGUUUUUGUUUUACACAACCAACCCUUUUCUCAAAAACUUACCUAUCAAGACCCCUAAUUUUACACUAAAAACUCUUCAUAAUUCCAUAAUGAACUACCUCUAUGUUCCAUAUCAGAUUUCUCAAAUUUCCAGAUCUUAACUAGCCUAAAAUGACAUUAGAACAACACAAGAAACUCAGUUUUACUCAUACAGCCUAUACUUCAAAGUUUCAUUUAUCAACACUCCAUUUUAUAACUAGAAAUGACUUAUAAAUUAGCCCAAUCAUUUCUCCUAAAUACUAAAACAAAUUUGACAUCAUUUAACAUCUCAACAAAAACAUGCUAAGCCAAAUUCAAUUUCCAAAUUAAAAUAACAAGUCAUACAAACAUUAUCCAAUCAAGAAUCAACAUUCAAAAACACUACAAACUCCAAAAAUAGCCAUUUUAACACAAUGAUCAACAUGCAUUAGUUUUAUAAGCAACCAAAUAUUAUUUCAUAUUCAAUAACUAAAUUAUAAAAUACUUUAGCUUCCCUUACCUCACAAAAUUGCCUAUCACGCUCUAGAACUACACUCUCAUUGUUUCCAACCGACUCAAGGAACUAUAAAUACACCUAUGAGACAUCGGAAAGAGAAACAAAAAGAGUCCUUAGGAUCUCUAAUUUAAAAGGAUCAAAGAAAACGGGUUGAAACAUACAUGCGAUGGACAACUCCAUGCAUGAACUCGAGUAAAGGACAAAGAGCAAAUGGGAGCCAAAACUUACUUGCUCUAUUAUAGAAACCAAUCGGAUAAAUGUGGAGAUUACCUCGCUAGUGAUCUCCUAGGUACCUCUUGAUCGUCAACUAGAUGAUCGAGGAGUUAGAAAAGUUAGAGAAAAGAUAGAGACAACUUAGAGAAAAGGUUUUAGAGAGAUAAACUGUAUUUUAAAUAAUGAAAUAAGUUUAAGAACUUCGAUUAUAUUAUCGAGUUAUUUUAAAAUAUAAUAUUAGGUUUCAUUAUUUUAAUAUAUCUAUAACCUCUAAUAUUUUAAUUUUUAGUUUCUUACAAUUAUGAUUUUUAUUUUUAUUUUUAUUGUUAUUAUUGUUUUUAUUUUUAAUAAUUUUAUUAUUAUUAUUAUUAUCGUUAUUAUUAUUAUUAUUAUUUAAUAUGUUAAUUAGUAUAAUUUAAUAUAUCUUAAUAUUGUAAUGUUUUAAAAUAUAAUUUAUUAAAAUAAAACAAGUAAAACAUAUUUUAAAUAAAAUUAAAAACAAAGAAAUUAGGAUAAAUGAAAUAAAUAAAUGAUGUGUCGGAUUUCAACAUAGAUACCAAAUUUCAUAGAGUGAUAAAUGGAAACUGGAUUUCGAAAUUCAACAGAAAUAUUUUUUGGAUUUUAAAAUAAUUUUCGAAAUUCAAUUACUUUUUUAUUCAAAAUUUAAAAUCUAAUUAGUUUCGAAAUCGGAUGAUUUGAAGAGAGUAGGAAAAAAAACUGAGUGAUAGGUAAUAGAGAGGAAAACAUUUUAUCCUUAUUAAAAGGUUAGUUUAUACAUUAACUUAAAAGUUUUGGAGAGUUAAGGAGAAAGCUCGGAGGUAGAGGAAGAAAAUGUUCGUACUUGGACUUCAAAGGACACGUAAGCCCAGAAGGUACAAAGAGCAUCCAAGUUCCACGACAGCUAAUAAAGUGUUAUUUUCUUCACCACCACACAAUACUCUCUACACCUCCCCAACAUUUCUUAUUUCCAAAACUAACAUUAUAUAAAUAUUCUUUUUUUUUUUUUACUUUUACCUAUUUUUAUUGUAAAACCAUAUUCCCAUUCCCAUUCAUUUUCUACUGCCCCAAUACCCCCACACCCUCACAUAACCUUCAUUCCUCUCUUAGCUCUCUUGCUUAUUUCAGUUAGUAUUGCCAGUUCAUAAUUCCUCUAUUGAUCGAUUUAACCUCAAAAUUCUAUAGGUGAAAAGUACGAGAAAGAGGUCAAAAGAAACGUUGCAGAAAAUGUAAGCCUCAUCGGGCGUCUAUAAAUACGCCAGCACAACGUCCCUCCUAGUCAACGCGUUCAAGGUUAACCCAACGGACGACCCACAUUUCUUGGUUACCACCUUCUUGUUCUCCACCCCGACAAACGUCGCAUUGUCGUACUUCACGAAACAGCCCUCGAGCUGCAACGCGCCGUCGCAGGAGGCGAAGUAAAGAAUGCCGAGUUGAGUGACCACACGCGCCACGCAGCGCGAACACUGAUCUUUGUUGAGGUCACCGCUGCACUAGAAGAGGUUGUAGACAGUGUGGGAGGAGGCAGCGGAAAGGGUGAAGUUGUUAUAGUUGGCGAAGUUGGCCGAGUUGAUGAGCAAGGUGAGGAACGAGUUGACAGUGCUCUCGUAGGGAGAACCCGACGUGUACUUGGGCUGGGAGCAACCGCCGAAGACGAAGGUGUCGAUGGCGGAGGAAGAGGGGGUUGCGAGAACAGAGAAGAUGAAGAGGAGAAGGAGACGAUGCAUGGUUGGGUUUGGCACAGUGCGUGCAUGGAAGCGAAGCGUGGUGUUGUGUUUUGGGGAGAGUGUUGUUAUUGUUACGGUGAAGGUUUCUUCCGAGAGAAUUUACGUAAGGAAGUACCAAGUUGAUGCAAGAAGAAGCUAUUUAUGAUUGUGGAAACAAAAGCAAGAAAAGUAGACUUUGUUCUAUGCUUUUCUCGGCUCGUAGUUACAGCUUUUCAAGAACAAACGUAAUCUUUAUGCUUGAACGGAUGUAGAUGUAGAUAUCCAAUGGAUGUUGAUAUCCAAGGGAUGUCGAUAUUCGUUUUGACGUCCGUUUAAGAAUAUAAUAGAAUAUAUUAAAUAUUUUAACUGCUGUUUUACAUUUAUUGUUUUCUGUUUGGGACAACUAUUCAUAAACAGUAAUCUAGAUUUUAGGAUUUUCUAUUUUGGGGAGUUUUUAGCUUUUCUACUAGCAUACAGAAAAUUUGUAUCUUUGGACUUACCAGAACCCUAUAUAAGGGAUUCCAGCAUUUACAACUUACAAUAACAUACACACAGAAUAAACAAAACACUUUUCUUCUUCUCAACGUAAAGAGUUUAGCGAACACUUACCUCUCUCACCCGCUCCUCUUCUUUGCCUUUCUUUCUCCUAUAGAUCGCCACCACUAGCUGCCACGUCGGAGCACCAUGGAGAUCACCUGGUUCGCCUCUCUCUCUCUCUCUCUCUCUCUCAACUGGCUCAAAUGCCAUUGAUCUCACCUAACAACUGAACCCCAGAAGCUUCGAGAGAGACUUUUGUCUCACGCUGUUGGGCCACUAGUUUUUGCCCUCUUUACCAAAAUAUUGGGCCAGUAUAUUUCUUUUUGGUAACAAAGCAGGUCCUAUACCUGUUCUGCCACUAUUUUCGCUGCAUUCUUGAUCCUGUUUCUUUAAGACUUUCUUGCUGACAUGGAGAAAGCUGACCCAGCCAACAACCCCUCCAGUCCCUGCUAUCUGCACCCAUGGGAGAACCCAGGCACUUCCCUCAUUUCUCAGGUUCUCAAUGAAUCUAACUACACUUCUUGGAGCAGAAACAUGAGAAGAGCCCUUCUUUCCAAGAACAAACUAAAAUUCAUAUAUGGAAGGAUCAAAAAGCCUCAAAGAAGUGACAGUCUUUUCGAUUCUUGGGAAAGAAGCAACAUCAUGGUACUAUCUUAGAUUACCAAGACUCUUUCACCCCAAAUAGCAGAAAGUGUAAUAUAUGUGGAGAAUGCUCAAGAAUUGUGGGAGGAAUUGAAAGAAAGGUUUUCCAAAGGGGAUCACUUUAUAUUCUAAGAUUUACUCCAAGAAAUUCACUCUAUCAAACAAGGUGAAAGAAGUGUGAACUAAUAUUUUACUGAUUUGAAGAUUUUGUGGGAAGAAUUGGAGUUUCUCAUACCUACCCCAAGUUGUACCUGCAAAAUUCCUUGUAGUUGUGAUUUAUCCAAAGCCUCACACAAAUACAGAGACAUGGAGCAUGUCAUAUGCUUUCUAAAAGGAUUGAACGAAUGCUAUAACACUGUCAAGACACAAAUAUUGCUUAUGGAACCCCUACCCAAAUUUAAUCGGGUGUUUUCAUUCAUCAUACAACAAGAAAUACAAGGAAAAUAUGAUUCUAACCAGAUUGAUAGCAAAAUCCUUGCUAACACCACUGAGAAACAAAAUCAGUAGAAAAGCAACCAAGGCUGGAAGACCUAUGGACAAGGAAAUCCCCCUAGAAGUCAAGGAAGAGGGAGAGGAAGAAAUCCCAACUAUGGGAAACAGUGUUCUCAUUGCCAUAAAAUGAACCAUACCAUCAAUGAGUGUUACUUUAAGCAUGGAUAUCCACCCUGUUACAAGAAAAACGACAACAAUAGUGAAAGUGGUGUCGGGUAGAACGAGUCGCGUUCAGCUAAUGCUUGUUCAGCAUCUACUGGACACAAGCCAGUCAACAGAAUGUUGUUCAAAGCCCCUUCACUCAGGAACAGAUGCAGAAGAUACUGCAGUUGCUGGAAAAGACUGAUAGCUCAUCUCACAGCAUCAACCAUAUACAAAAAGACAACACAGAGGACACACAAGGUGUGCUCUCAUGGAUUAUAGAUACAGGGGCCACUGAUCAUGUGACCCAUGACAAGAGUCAGUUCACAACUUUCUAUAAAAUCAACCCCAUAUCAGUUAAAUUUCCUAAUAAUUCUAUUGUUACUACCCAUUAUGCAGGAACCAUACAUUUCUCUAAAGAUUUUGUGAUUUUUAAUGUUCUAUACAUACCUGAAUUCACCUUUAAUCUCAUAUCUGUUCAGACUCUAACUAGAGAUAUAAAUUGUACCCUAACUUUCUCCUCUAUGACAUGUGAAAUUCAGGACAAUUCUACAUUGAAGAUGAUUGGAUAUGCUAGUGUAUGCAAAGGGCUUUACCACUUACAAUCUUUUGGAAGGAAUCGAGCUCCUAAUUUUAUUUUCUCUUACGAACAUAACAAUGUAAAUCUAUGGCACUGUAGACUUGGCCGUCCUGGACAUAAAGUUGUUGAAAAAAUAUGUAAAAAUUUUUCUUAUAUUCAGACAACUGCUGAUAAUGCUUGUGACAUUUGCCAUUAUGCUAAACAACACAAGUUACCUUUUCCUAAGAGCAAUUCUUUAUCUGCUAACUGUUUUGACAUGAUUCAUUGUGACAUUUGGGGUCUUAUUUCUACUUCCUCUGUUGUUGAUGACUAUAGUAGGCAUACUUGGGUUUUUCUCAUGCAUAAUAAGGGUCAAUCCAGGGAACUCCUACAGGCUUUCAUCAUGAAAAUUAAAACUCGGUUUAAUAAGACUAACAAAGUCAUUAGGACAGAUAUUGGUCCUGAAUUUAAUUGCUCUAGUACUUAUGAUUCUCAUGGAAUUGAACAUCAAAAGAGUUGUGUUGAAACUCCACAACAAAAUUCUGUUGUGGAAAGGAAACAUCAACACAUAUUGAAUGUUACUCGUAGCCUCAUUUUUCAAUCCAAUAUUCCUCAUAUUUAUUGGUCUUAUGCUCUAUCCCAUGUUGUACAUUUGAUUAACAGAUUACCUUCCCCUGCCAUUAAAGAUAAGACACCUUUUGAACUCUUACAUAAUAAUCCACCCACCUAUCUUUAUUUAAAAGUUUUUGGUUGUCUUUGUUUUGCAUCUACCUUGGAGAGCAACAGAAGUAAACUUGACCUUAGGGCUAGAAAGGGCAUAUUUCUAGGACAUAAGAGUGGGGUAAAAGGGUAUAUAGUUCUGGACAUUAAUAGUAGAGAAAUAUUCAUAAGUAGAAACAUCAUUUUUUAUGAGGAUAUUUCUCCUUGAUGAUAUUACCUGCAACCAUGAGAAAGACUCUGUUGAGAAUGAAAGAGGAAACCCGAGCCCUACUCAGAGUAGUUCUAUUGAGAAAAGCUCUGUUGAGGACAGUACUGUCAUUGAAGACACUAAUUAUAUGGAACUGGAACAAGGAAACAAUCAAAAGAGAUCUAGCAGAGUUAGAAAGACUCCAGAAUACUUGAAGAGUUAUGUACAAGAAGGUGAUCAAUCCACAUCUACCUAUUCGUGUACCAAGAAUGGUUUGAGUACUCCUUACCCUAUAACAAGUGUUUUGUCUUACAAAUCUCUUUCUAAUAAACAUUUAAAGUAUACUCUUGCUAUAAAUGCCAAUAAGGAACCCAGUUCCUAUGAAGAGGCCAAGAGCAACCCUGGGUGGACCCAUGCCAUGCAAAAGGAAAUUCGGGCUCUACAAGCAAAUAGGACCUGGUUCUUGACUCAACUCCCUCUAGGGAAGAGAUUUAUUGGAUGUAAGUGGGUCUAUAAGAUAAAGCAUAAGGUUGAUGGCACUAUUGAAAGAUAUAAAGCUCGGUUGGUAGCCAAAGGCUACACCCAACAAGAGGGAAUAGAUUUCUUGGACACCUUUUCUCCUGUUGCUAAACUUACUUUUGUUAGGCUAAUGCUUGCUCUUGCAGCCUCUAAAAAUUGGUUUCUACAUCAACUUGAUGUGGACAAUGCUUUUCUUCAUGGACACUUAAAUGAAGAUGUGUAUAUGGAUCCUCCACCAGGUUUAGAUGUUGAUAUUAAAGGACAAGUCUGUAAACUGACUAAGUCUUUAUAUGGGUUGAAACAGGAUAACAGACAGUGGUUUGACAAGCUCUCCACAUUCCUUAUCUCUUCCGGAUAUGUUCAAUCUAGAUCCGACCAUUCCUUAUUUGUUAAGAAAACUCCUACAGAUUUCACAACUCUACUUGUGUAUGUUGAUGAUAUUGUAUUGACAGGAAAUUCAAUGAACGAGAUCAGCCUCAUAAAGACUCUUUUGGACAUUCAAUUUCAGAUUAAGGAUCUAGGAGAACUCAAAUACUUUCUAGAUUUUGAGGUUGUUAGAUCUAAUAAAGGAAUACACCUAUGUCAAAGGAAGUAUGCCCUUGAUAUUCUUGAAGAAACAGGGAUGCUAGGGAGCAAACCUAGCUUUACACCCUAUUUAAGUUGCACCAGCUCUCUAUACAAAACGGAGGACUAUAUGGAAAAUCCCAAUGAUUAUCGAAGAUUCAUAGGGAAACUCUUCUACCUUACUAAUAUUAGACCUGAUUUAUGCUUUACAGUUAACCUUUUAAGUCAGUUUAUGCAGGAACCAACCAAAUACCACUAUCAGGCCUUACAACAUGUUCUUAGAUAUGUCAACUCUGAAGAACUUUUCUUUGCUUCUGAUUCUAAUAUACAGAUAAAAGGUUUCAGUGAUUCGGAUUAGGCCACCUGCCCCAAUAUGAGAAGAUCCACAACUGGUUACUGUAUUUUCCUAGGUAGUUCUCUCGUCUCAUGGAGAUCAAAGAAGCAAACUACUGUCUCAAGGUCUUCUAUAGAGGCAUAGUACAUAGGCCUUGCAACCAUUGCUUGCGAGAUGUAAUGGUUACACUAUCUCCUUCAAGACCUCCAUGUUAAGCCAAUAGCUACUGUCGUCUUGUAUUGUGACAACAACUUAGCCAGGCACAUUGCUCAUAACCAAAGCUUUCAUGAGCGAACCAAGCAUAUAGAGUUGGAUUGUCAUGUUGUUCGUGAGAAAAUACAGGCCAAGUUUCUCCACUAAGUUCCCUCAUCGCACUCGUUUCAAAUCCAUUAUUCCUAAGCUUAGAAUGGUGAAUAUACACCAUUCAGCUUGAGGGGAAGCUAUUAAAUAUUUUAACUGUUUCUGUUUACCAUUUAUUGUUUUCUGUUUGGAACAACUGUUCAUAAGAACAAUCAUCUAGAUUUUAGGGUUUUCUGUUUUGGGGGUUUUCAGCUUUUCUGCUAGCAUUUAGAAAGCUUGUAUCUUUGGACUUACUGGAACCCUAUAUAAGGAAUUCCAGCAUUUACAACUUACAAUAACAUACGCACAAAAUAAACAGAUCAUUUUUCUUCGUCUCAACGUAAAGAGUUCAGCGAACACUUACCUCUCUCACCUGCUCCUCUUCUUUGCCUUUCUUUCUCCGAUCGGCCGCCACCAUUAGCUGCCACGCCAGAGAACCAUGGUGAUCGCCUGGUUCGCCUCUCUCUCUCAGCUGGCUCGAAUGCCAUUGAUCUCUCCUAACAACUGAACCCCAGAAGCUUCGAGAGAGACUCUUGUCUCACACUGUUAGGCCACCAGUUUUGGGUCUCUUUAACAAAAUAUUGGGCCAAUAUAUUUCUUUAGAAUAAAUUAUAAAGUUAAAAUUUUUAAUAAAAAAUUAAAUAUCAUAAAAGGACAAAAAUGGAAUGGAAAAGUGUAAGAAACACUAUAUGGUGGUGGAGGGAGUAACACUCCAGCUAAUAACCAUGUGUCCAAAUCACAGAAUUAAGGAAAUUUUACAAAUCUAUAUUUAGAAUCAAAUUGCUAAUCUAAAAUUUAGUCACUUAAAACUGUAAUUAAAUUCUUACUAUUUAAUUCUAAAGUUAGCAAUUGAAAUCGUAAUUUACAGAUUAUUAAAAAUGGUAUUGAUAUUUGAUUAUACGUUUUGUCCUCAAAGUUACACAAACUCACCACUUUAUCUCUAAUUUUUCUUUCGCGUAUUAACUUACCUUCGAACUCUCUGACAAUGCUUUAAUUUGUUCUUCUAUAAAAGUCUGCCCACAUAUCUUCUUAACUUGAUUAUUAUUAAAUAGCAAAAUUUACACAAAUUUAUUGACAAAACUUAUACCAUUUAUUGACAUAAAAAAUAGCAAAUUUUUGAACUUAAAAAAAAUAAUGAUUACGGAACUUAUCCCACGGCAUGCCUCUUAUUAUUGAAGUAGGAAGAAUGGAAAUAUUUUAAAUAUUCACAUAUGGAAGUGUUAUAUGCAUAAUAUGAUAGGUACAAGAUCAAAUAUCGAGUAGGGAAUAAGAAAUAAAAAUUUAAUCGCAGACCUUAAUGGAUAAGUAUUUGUUAUCAAGGAUUACAUCAUUUCACAUUUUAUACUUAAUCUUAACAAAAUAAAAUUUAUAUUGGAUGACAGGUUGGUUGUCCUCCAAGUUGUAUAUCUGCUAUAGAAGCUAAGUGUAUAUGGUUAUAUUUGAAGGUUAUGGAGGUGUGUGUCAAAUUUACUCAUAAUUAACCAUACAAUACAAACACAUAAAAAGCAUAGAAAGUAUUGAAAAAAAGUAGAAGGAAAACAAGAAACUAGAAUACAUGCAAUAAUUAACUUGAUUUGAAUGAAAUGUAAAUGAACUUCAAUCUACGUCCAGAAAGAAUGUUUACUCUAAAUGAAAGAUUACAAGAGAAAGUUUUCUCACUCAAGAGAACUCAAACAUUACAACUUCUGGUUAACCAAAUACAAAAAUUAUGUUUCUAAUAUAAUACCACUAAAUAAUCGUGAAAAUUACACUCCUUUGACAUGUUCAUUUUUCUUUCUUUUUUUUUUUUAAUUUUAUCCUUCCAGUGAAUGUAUAAGCUACUUGGAAACUUUAUAUAGAUUCAUAAUUUAGUUUGAAUUAAUAUAUUACACAUGAUCGAAGAAGGCUAUAUCAGAUAGCCAAAAUAGAAUGCAGUCCUGGAGAGUCCCAAGUGCUUAGUUAUGGUAGUGUUGUUGUUGGUAGCUUGUUCCUUCUGUUUAUUUUAGUCGGUAACUCUUGUGCGACGAAGUAGUGGGCAACACAUUGCUGCUAGAGUCAAACAUUUCUGGUGGAAGAUAAGAGUGAAAGGAAAAAGGGCAAUCCACUAGACUAGCAGAAGAUGAUGGGUGGAUCCCGCAUUCUUCCAAUUUUCAUGUGAUCAUCCACUAUACCACACUUUCAAUUUCAUGUACUGCUACUCCAGAAGUUGCUUCCCCAUUUUCAAUAUCAGUGAUAUAUAGUGAUAUAUAGCUGGAGUAAGGUAAACAAUUUCAUGCUUCAUAUCUUAUCAUCCACUUCACACAUGUCCACAUGCAUAAAAAGCUUCUUCUUAUGCCAUUUUUUUUGUUCUAUAACAUACUGUUCUCUAUCUCUUGUUCUUCAUACCAGUAAUUUUAAUAUAUUUCUAUAGUUAAUAAUCCCAGCUCAGAGAGAGUAAGACCAAUUGUUUAAUAUUUAGGAAGAAAUCUUUGCAUAAUUUAUAGUGAAUUUUAAUCUCAUUCUACCGGUUGAAUCAAAAUCUUAUAUGAUAUUCCAAUGAACAGCACACUGAUAUAUUAUAUGUGUAUCUCCAAACAGUAUAAAUUUGGUACACAGUAAAUAAUCACAGUACCUUCAAUUCGUUCCAGAUUUGAAUUCACUCACACAAUCCGACUCCUCAAGAAAUUGUUUUCCAUUCUCUAAAAAAAAGGGUUACAGUAUGUUCAUAAGCCAAGUGAUGUAUCAGGAUAAAUCCACAUCAUGAUCAAGUUGCUGAACAGCUGCUGGAAAUUUGAAAGAAAAAGAGAACUGGUUCCAGGGUUCAUUGGUGCUAAGUGUGAACAUCCAAGAUGAAUGAUUCCGACAUUCUCAAGAGAAAACGGAUAUAGGUUUUAUCAGAGAAAGGAGAAUAGGUUUAGAACAUGAUCUGGCGUAGGUAGCACAGUGAGAAGUGAGAACAUGAUCAGUGUAAUGGUUGUGGUGGUUGACAGCAAAAGCACACCAGUGGGUCUUAUAGUGCGAUUUUCUGUACUUGAACCCAACCAACUACUUCAUGUGCAGUGGGCCACACUUCGAGAAAUUAAGACACACUUUUGGGCCCCUCCAUUUGUGUAAUGGGCCAGGCCCAUUACUAUAUAUACACAAGCACUUAGCAUUCCAAAAUCAUACUUUGCCAUGGCAACUUCUAAAGUAGUUCUCGGUAACAUUCUCUUUGUGUUUGUUUGUUUAGGAAUUUGCUCUGCUGCAAGAACACUCCUCACUCUAGAGGACCGUGUCAACUUGCAUGUUGGCACUGCUGUUGGUGGAUAUGGCGGUGGUGGAGGAAGUGGCGGCGGAGGAGGAGGAGGAGGAGGUGCUGGAGUAGAGCACGGUGCUGGUGGCUACGGAGAAGGAGCUGGAGGAGGUGAAGGUGCCGGUGCUGGAUAUGGGGCUGCGGGUGGUGGACACGGUGGUGGUGGAGGAAACGGUGGUGGCGGUGGCGGUGGUGCUGAUGGAGGUGGAUACGGUGGAGGGGCUGGUAAGGGUGGUGGUGAAGGAUAUGGCGGAGGUGGAGCAAACGGGGGUGGUUAUGGUGGUGGAAGUGGAGGAGGAGGUGGCGGUGGUGCAGGGGGUGCUGGUAGUGGUUAUGGAGGCGGGGAAGGGAGUGGGACUGGUGGUGGCUACGGUGGAGCCAAUGGUGGAGGAGGAGGUGGAGGAAGGGGUGGGGGUGGUGGAGGAGGUGCUGGCGGAGCAAAUGGAGGAGGAUAUGGUGGUGGUGAGGGAGCUGGACAAGGAGCCGGUGGAGGAUACGGUGGUGGAGCAGCUGGUGGCGGUGGGGGUGGCUCUGGUGGCGGUGGCGGUGGCGGUGGAGGCUAUGGUGGUGGAGGUGCACGUGGGGGUGGAUAUGGAGGAGGGGGUGGGGGUGGCGAAGGUGGUGGCCACGGUGGUGGAUACUACCCAUGAGAUGAAUACAUCACCAAAGAAAAUAUGGUAGCUAGCUCGGUGUGGCUAUAGUAAAAAUAAUAAGAAAAUGUAAGGGUACGAGGAUGCUGAUAAACUAUUUAUGCAUUCUAUUCUAAUUUAUGUUUUACAUAUAAGUGGAAUGGGUUGAAGCUCUGCAAGAUUUACGCUAAUAUUGAUGUAUACAUGCAAGACUCUUUACGAUAUUUGAAUGUGAUGUCUUUAUUAAUCAUAUACAUGCAAGACUACAUUGCCCUAUUCCAUGAACUUCCGUUAUGAGUGUCUUUCUUGCGAGAAACUAGCUUAAAGAAGCCAUGAUGGAAAACAUGCCAACUUGAGGACUUUGUUAUAAAAAAUAAAUAGGAAAC